Molecule: long non-coding RNA, 82964 nt
Filed under: Medicago truncatula (barrel medic)
Lineage: Eukaryota; Viridiplantae; Streptophyta; Magnoliopsida; Fabales; Fabaceae
Description: long non-coding RNA (MTRU_LNC002454)
Source: RNAcentral
CACCAAGCAAAUCAACACAAGCACCCAAUUUCAAAGUGUCAAUUGGACAUGUGUCUUUCGCCGGUUUAUUUUUUGGUGGACAUGGACUAGUAGGACUAGGAGUACUCCCUCCUGAGCUUGGCGGGUUAAGCACUGGAGGGACUGGAAGGUGUGGUAGGACUGGUGGAAUAGGCAAAGUUGGAGGGAUAGGCAAAGUUGGAGGAAUUGGCAAAGUUGGUGGAAUAGGCAAAGUUGGAGGGAUUGGAAGGUGUGGAAGGACUGGAGGAAUAGGCAAAGUUGGAGGGAUUGGAAGGUGUGGAAGAACUGGAGGAAUAGGCAAUGUUGGAGGAAUUGUAACAGGUGGUUUCACAAUUGGUGGUUUCACAAUUGGUUUUUUACCUGGCUUGUGUUUCUUAGGGGGUUUUCCACAAGUGCCACAACCAAGAAUUGGUGUAGCUGAAGAGAUGAAGAGCAUGCAAAUGAUGAGGUAAGCAUAGAACUUUGAUGAUGAGGACUCCAUGUUUUUCUCUUAGUAAUUACAAAGAGAAAGAAAUGGAGAAAAAGGGAAUUAGAGUGUAGAAUGGAGUGAUUGUAAGAAGAAGAAGUGAGAGGUGAUAUAUAGGAAUUGUGAUAGGAAGGAGUAUGAUAAGAAUACAAAAGGGCUUUAUUAUAGCAUAUCACGUGAACAUGGUGCUAGACACAUUCUAAAGCCUACUUCCAAGUUUUGCAAGCUGGCAAACCUUACAAGUGUACAUUACAUGAAUCAAUUUCCAUCUAUAUGUAAAAAAAUUCAUGAAACACCUUUAAUUUACUGCCAUCUUAUCUGUGCUAUCUUACCUUAAUUAAUUUGUUAAAGCUUGCUAGUGUUUUAGGGGAAAUGAAACACCUUAUAAAGUUUAAUCAAAACAGUACCUUCCUUUUGUAGGGAUUCAUAAUUUGGUCUAAUUCUUACUUUGAUUGAUUAAAGUGUAUGUGUAGAUAAAAGUUUCAAUUAUUAGUGAUCUUUUUCUUUAAUUGAGUAAUUAAUAACUUUUCUCGUUUGAUUUAUUUGCCCAAUCAAAAUAAAAAAUUGAACUAUUAAUGAUCAAGUGAAUUUUGUUUUUGAUGAUAAAAAUGAUUGAUAUCUGAGAUCUAGGUUUUUGAUUAAUAUUUGAUAAUAUAUAAUAGCAUAUAUAAAUGGUCCACAUUUUUUUUUGUUUUAACAUAUAUAUAACAUGGUCCACUUAGAUGUCAAUUUUGCAUAAUGUCAUGCACUAGUUUAUUUUUGGGAAUUUGUGAUUGAACUUUCCUUACCCUAAUUGUAUUCCUCAGAUUCUUACUUGUGACAAAAUUAUUUUCUUUGAAAUGGUUUUUCAAUUUGUAAAAAUUUCAUUAAUUGUUAUUUUAGAAAAAGCAAAAUAUCGUAGUCAAUCACUAAUCCAUAGCACAAGAAAUUUAAAUGCUAGGAUGAGCUAGCAAAGGCAUAUACACCUAUAUGCAGAAAUGUAGACAGCAUGCUCUCAAUCCUAUGAUAUUUGUGACAUCAAGCAAUCCUCUUAAGAGAGUGAUGAAUGAGACCAUGAGCAUAUAUUCCUUGUACUACUUUAUAAAUAUUGUUGCUGAUUAAUUUUUAAAAUAAAUUAUUAGAUUUGAAAAUCAUAUAUUGAAAUGAAUAGUAAUUGUUCUCUAUGCACUCUUUUCACCAUUCAAAUAGUUCCUAGAAAAGAUAAACAGGACAAUAUAGCUGCGUUUUAGGCAAAUCGAAUAUUUUCACAAAUAUCGAAAGUAUAAACUUCCAUUGGCAAUUUAGCAAGUCACACAUACAUUAACUUCAUUAUGUCCAACAAAUAAUUGUCCUCAAGUUUGAUUUAGUUUUCUUCUGUUUUUUUAUAGAAUAAGUUUGGGUAGAUGCUAAAGUCAUCAAUUAUAUGUUAAUAGACCCUGAGAUAUGGGAAAAUUUUGGACUACUCCUAACCUAAGGGAUAAUAUGUAGAAACGGAGUUUCGUGGAAGUCUAUGACGAAUGUAACAUUUUUUUUUGUCUACUAAUUAUCCUAAGUCAAUUAUUUAAUUUUGUUUUUAUCCUGAUUUCUUCACCCACACAUAUAUAUAGUUAUAUUUUUCUAUCUCUUUUCUUUUUUCGAGUGAAAUAUGUUUAUAUACUAAUUCUCCUAUGUCAAUUAUUUAAUAUUUUUUUUUUUACUAAAAUCAAAUAAACUUUUUAUAUGGGAUGUUUGAGGAAUAUGAGAUUGGAUGUAAAGUAUGAGUAAGAGUUCCAAAAUUAAAUGAAAAAAAGGAGGGUGAACAUCUACAAGUGAGAUACACGUAUUUAAUGUCUCAAAAUUUUGGAUGAAGAAAUUAUGUUUAAUUUCACUUACGUGGUUACUUAAAGGUCAAUGUAACAAUCCUUAAAUAUCUUCAUGAUACCACAUAGAUUAGGUUUUUUCUACAUUACCCUAUCUUGUUUAGAGGGUAUUUACCCCUUCAAGAUAUCAACCAAUCAAAAUGUAAUAUACAAAAUGUAACAUUAAAUGUCAAAUAAACGAGUCAAUUUUUUUAAGCAAAAUUACACUAAAUGUCCUUUAUUUUAUUUAUUUGCAACACAUUAGUCCUUUAUCUUUUUUUUUAAUCCCAUUUAGGUCAUUUAUCUAUUAAAAUGUGCACAAGUUAAUCUUUUUCUUCAUUUUUCUAUUAAAAAAACAUGAAAAUAUUAAUUUUAUUAAUAACUUUGUUUUAUAAAAUAUUUUUUAAUAAAUAAAUUCAUAAACCCUAUAAACAUUUCAUCCUCAUAUUCAUCUUCAUCUUCUUCCUUAAAUCAAAAAAAUUGUCCAUCCAAAUAAACCUUCAAAUUUCUUAAAUAUUUUCACUUUCAUCUUCUUCUAAACACCAAAUUCAAAAUCCCCAAAUUUCAUAAACCCUAAUUUUACCAAACCUAUAAAUUUGGAUUUAAAGAAAAAUCUCACAAUUUGGAUUGUGAACCUCUCAUGUUUGAGUGCUCAAGCAUAGUUUUAGUAAAGAUCAUCACAACUUAGAUCUUGUAAUUUUCUCAUCAAAUACAAUCAUCACUUUCCCUAUAGCUUUCCUAUCUCCGAUGUUAGUGAAGGCGAGGUUGGCCUGCAACAAUAAAAAAUUGUUUAUACCAUUGUAUAGCACUAGUCCAAAAUCCAAAAAGGUUAAGAAUCUAAAAAUUAAAGCUAAACAGCUAGCUCAUAUGCACAAUCCUCGUCAAGUUCACAUCAAACACCAUUAUAAUCAAAUUUCAUAGAAAACAAGAAACCCGAUACUUAGAAUUCUCGAUUUCUUUCUUUAAAUCCAAAAUUCAGAUUUAUGGGUUUGGUAAACUUAGGGUUUAUAAAAUUUGAGUAUUUUGAAUUUUGUGUUUAGAAGAAGAUGGAAGUAGAAAUAUUUAAGGAAUUUGAAGGUUUGUUUGGAUGGACAAUUUUUUUGAUUUAAGGAAGAAGAUGAAUGUGAUGAAUAUGAGGAUGAAAUGUUCAUAGGAUUUAUGAAUUUAUUUAUUUUUAUUAAAAAAAUAUUUUAUAAAACAAAGGUAUUAAUAAAAUUAUUAUUUUCAUUUUUUUUAAUAGAAAUAUGAAAAAAAGGAUUAACUUGUGCACAUUUUAAUAGAUAAAGGACCUUAAUGGGACAAAAAAAAGUUAAAGGGCUAAUGCGUUACAAAUAAAUAAGAUAAAGGACCUUUAGUGUUAUAUGAUGGGUUAAAUUUGAUGUGAAAUUUUAAUUGUUACAAGACCUAUAGUGUAAAUUAAUUAAGAUUGAAUACCUAAAUAUAUAAUUAAAUUAAAUGUUACCUUAGGAUUAAAAUUAUUAUUAUUAUUUUUUUUGAUUGGUUGCUAUCUUAAAAGGGUAAAUACCCCCUAAAUAAGAUAGGGUAAUCUAGACCUCACCGAUAGACUAUGUUAGUUUUGACGGGUAUAACAGUUUAUACCUAUUUUUUUUUAUUCACACUAAUAAGCGGUUUACUUACUCAAUUUUUAUUUUCAUGCUGAAGGGUGAAAAUCUUAAAGUUUCAUUGUAAAAAAAUAGUGAACUAAACUUCCAACCCUCACAUUAUUUUUAGAUAUUUCAUUUUCAUUUAUAAGUUUUUAAAUAUUUCGAGUAUUUGUGAGAACAACGAUGCUAUACACAGCGAGAAGAAUGAUCUUGAAUCGAUCACGAAUGAAAACAAGCCAAUAUAGGAGGUUUAAGCGGAAAUCAUGGGAGGAAGGGAGAAAAAGAUGAAAAUCAUAAAAUAGUGGAUGGAUGACAUACAUGCCACAUGUGUCGUGAAAAAUUCGAGAUAUUACUAUUUCACUUUAAAUAUCAUUUUUCUUGUUAAAAUUUUACACGACACAUAUGACAUGUAUGUAUGCAUUGCUAUCCAUCCACUAUUUUAUGGUUUCCAUCUUUUUCUACCAUCCUCCCAUUGAUUUCCGCUCAAAACUCCUUUUCAUUGAGGAUCAUUCUUCUUGCUGUGUAUAUCAUCUUCCCCAAACACACUCAUGGGAAUUAAUAUCACAAAUUUACCAAUUUAACACUUGUUGCCUUAUUAGGAGGACCGCAUUUAGCGCUUAGACAGAAUCGAAUCUGUACUAUAUUACAUAUUGGGUUUGAAGUCAACUUCGCUUUUUUACUUUAUCAUGUUGCUUUCUUUCACUUAUUUUAUUUUAUUUAUUAAUAAUAGAAUAAUACUGUAUCUCUUUCUCUGAUUAAGAGCAGUAUAAUCACGAAGAGAUAACAGGGUACAUGCAUGCAAUGCAAAUCAUGCUUUGUUUUUAGAGAAACCAGCGUGCGAAGACUCAGAUGGUUAUAAAUACGUGUCUACAUAUUAUUGGAAUUGAUCUCUAAACAAUCCGUCUCUCUUAUUUGAUUUUUUUAAUUUAAAUUUUUUUUAAGAGUGCAUCGGAUGCACUCGUUAGUAAGACUCUUAUUAUUGGCUUAUAGCAAUAUGCUACUCUACUACAACACGACGUUCAAAUUUUGAUUAAAAGAGGUGUUUAGUAGUGUUCUUUAUAUCCCAAAUAAGAUUACUUUGAAUUGUUUUCUUAUUUCAAUUUUUUAAAAUUAAAUCAGAAUAUUGUUAUAACCGUACUCCUCGUGAGCUUAUCUCAGUUAAUUAGUAGGAACAAUGCAUAGUAUAUGCAAGAUCUGGAGUUCGAACCCCGACCACCACGAGAAAAAGAAUAUAGCUCCCUCCAAAAAUUUCCCUUCUAAAACCACCAUCUUCGAAACAUAUCUUAGAAAAUAAGAAGACUCAGACACUAAUAUAGUUAGCUGUCACAUUGACAAUUUGUGAUCAAGAAAUCGGACUGAUUGUAAUAAUAAUAAGUCUUGUGAUUGUUUUAUUGAUAAUCAAAGAUAAUAUAUUAAUUCAAAAAAGUAUAAAAGGUACUCCAAUGAUAAUACAUAUAAAAUGAUAUAAUCACUAAUUAAAGUAAAUAUAAACAAUAAUAAGUGAUGUGAUUUACUUCUAUUCAAAUGAUAGAAAGGAUAAAGAUGAUUAUUAUUAUAUAUAAAAUGUUACACAAGACCGUUUGUUAAUAAAAAAGUUCAAGAUGAAUAUUUAUCGCAACCAAAGGAAGGUUGUAGGAAAAUAAUUGUAAAGAAAGAAGCAUGAGUAAAACAAGUAGAAAUGACCAAAGCAAUGUCAAAUAUGUACCGCAAAGUACACCAUGAAAAGAUAAAAGAAGAGUGUGUAGAUAUAUAGUAAGGGAAAGUGGGGAAAGAGUACAGGUUGGCAACCAUGUGAAAAAGUUUGUUAAGAGAAUGGGGAAAGAAUAGAGAAAGAUUCAGAGUAGUAGCUACUGUACAUGUCUCUCUGAUUGUGAUGUAUUGUAAUAUUGGUGUUUGCAUGUCCGUGAUGGGAUAAAGACUUUAUAAAGUUUUCUUAGUUUUUGUAAUUUUGUAUAUCCGUGAAUGAACUUUCCUUCCUUUGAUGUGAUAUCAUAUCUCUUAUUUUCCUUUCUUUCACCACCCAAUUUCUGUGUUAGCUUAACGUGCAUGUGCCCAAUACCACGUGAGAAUAAUCAUUUGUAUUCCAAUGAAUGAAAGAAGAAAUUUUUUAAUCAUAAGUUUAAUUACGAUUGAAUUGGCAUAUUGAUUGAAAUUGUCAGCAUUGGAUAAAUGUGAUCAUACGAAAGAAUAUGCCACGCCUACAAACUCAUUUGCCUAUUUUGAUAUUUGAUGAUCUCCUAAGUUGAAGUUAUUGAUAUAUCAUCAUGGGAAAAAAUAGCACCAAGAGAAUAAAAAAUGGUUAACCACUAUGUGAUAGAAGCAUACAACAAAGCCAAUAACGGGUUAACAACAACGAGACAAUAGUGUAAUGGUUGAGUUUAAAUGUCAGUGGCACAUCUACUAUAAAUGUGUUAAAUAUUUGAUAUAUAAGAGAUAUGACUUAUAUAUAUAUGUAAUGGCUUAAUGUUUGGAUGAAGAUGUAGUGUUAGAUCUCUUGGUGGUCCUAGAUAAUUGGCAUACUAUUGCUCUCGAUGUACUCUCCAGAUUCUCCAACAAAUGAUAUUAUAGCUCUAGUUUGACUUGACGGAGGAGCAAUAGUAACCACGAUGUUUGAUUGUUGUAUAAGAAGUAUUUUUAACGAUGUAGUCACGAGGCAUGUUUUGUUGGUUGUAACGACAGUGCAAGUAUAAUAUAUGAAAGGCUGAUAAUUGAGGGGAAGAUUGUUGAGUUCAUAUGUGAGUGAUUAGUCUCACAUUGACCGUAAAUGAAUUGAAUGUUUGAUAUAUAAGAGAGGUGACCUAUAUGCGAAUGUCUUGAAGUUUUGGAUAAAGAUGUAUAGAUAUCAUAGUGGUCAUGGCAUUAGUUUGUUUUUUUUUUCCUCAAAGCUCCAUUGAUCUCUCCCAACAAGUUGUAUCAAAGGCCAAGUUUUAAUUGGCGAGAGAGCGAAAGUGAAUAUCUCAAUGUUUGGACUUGCUACAAAAGUCUUCAUGUUAGUGUAGUCAGAAGACAUGUUAUUAUGCCGGUAAUAAUGGUGAUGCAAGUAUUGGAUAUAGGUCCACACUUGAGGGAAGAUUGUUGACUUCAAGUGUGAGUGAUUAGUCUCGUAUCAACAUAUGAAUGAAUUUAAUGUCAGAUAUAUGCAAGAGAAGACUCAUAUACUCAAUGCAUUGAGAUUUUAUAUGGAGACAUGAUUUUUGAUCUCGUAAUCCUAGAUCGUUGGUUUGUUGUUAUUUUCGGCGCUCUUCAUAAAUCUCCAACAUAAAUAAACUGUUAGAACAACAACCAAUUAUGAAAGGGAAAUUAAACGGCAACCGUAAACAAUAGAUAAACAAAGUUUGGUAAUAAAAUUCGGUCAAUUGUGCCCGUAUAAUCGUGUACGAACCAUCCCUACCCACUUGUGCGUACCUAUGAACCAUGUUCAACGCAAAUCAAUAUGAAAAACUUUAUAUGCGCCAAAAACUUCAACAAAAUGACAUUUUAUCUGCUCUAAUUAAUGCUUCUUGAAUCUUUCAAACAUACAAUCAGAACACUGGUCUGUUCACCACAUCGCUUGAAGUUUGUUGUCCUUCAAAACAUGCCGCAUUUGCUUCAGGUAGCUUGCAUUGCACUAAACCACAAAUCCAAAUACCCAAACCCACGAGACUUUCCAUGGCCAUGAUCAUCAUCUAUGAUAUUCCAUUCAUAAACCAUUAUCAUAGACACAUAACGAAAGAGAAAAAAGAAUGGAAAAGAAAUUUAAAUCAGAAAGAAAAAAAAAGGUGAAAUCCGAAACAAUAUUUUCUCUAAAUAAAAUGAAACAAAGAAAGAGAAAAACAAAAUUAGGAAAUAAGAUAAUUUUUUUUUUAUUGUAAAUGUCAUGACUCUUAAUAUCAUAUUAUGUUUGUUAUAUUAGACUUAACCCAUCCUUACAAGAUCAACUUAUAAAUAGAAACGGAUCUUAGAUUUCAAGUUUUUUUUUUUUUUAAAAGAUCUUAGAUUUCAAGUUGUAGGGGCCAACUCUAAACAAUAUGUAUAUCAUAUUAUCAUAUGAAGAGGUUAAUGAUAGAACUAAUUAAAUGGCCCAAGGUCAAAGUAUAAAAAUUAAACUCAAACUCAAGUAUCUUGUGCCUAUACAUUGAAGUAACAUGGUAUGAAAUCCAUACAAAAGAGUAAUGCUAUAUGAACAUAUAUCAUAGACAACAUGCUUGUUCACCUUAUAAAUGCAUCAUUUACCGUAUUUAUAAGAUGAACAUGUAUCAUUGCAUGUUUCUCCUAAUAUAAAUAUAAUUUUUUUUACAAUCCUUAUUUUUUUUAGAGAGAUACGACCCUUAUAUUUAAACACUCUUUAUAUUCAUACACUCAUUCAACAUUUCAUUUUUUUACUUCUGUCUCUUCCUUUUAUAUUAUUUAUUUAUCACAUCUAUCAUAUCACUCUCUCUAUUUUUAUCUAUUUCAUGACGUCGAAUGAAUUUUGGGUGUGCAACAAUAAUUUCAUUUUUUUUUAUAUGUAAAAAAAGAAGCAUUGGAAAUCGCCACAACUAAGUUAAAAUUUUAUGAAAUUUUGAUGCAAGUUAAAUGUUAAAAAAGGUUCGGUCCACAACUUUUUGACCACAGGAUCCAGCAAGAUGAUAGACAAAUGACAUUAAAACCAAUUAAAUGGAAUUUGUCGUGUGUGGUAUCUCCAAAGGUUCCAUACUGCAGCCAGCAAACAUUGAAAUGAAUAGAUCCUUAAUUUUCCAGCAAGAAAUUAAAAAAAAAAGCAUAUGGUUUCUCAUGUGUCAUCAUAAUUGUAUUGGACGUGGCUAUCAAUAACAACAAUGCGAUUGAAUCAAGUACUCCCAUUUUUGGAGGUUUACUGGGGUGGGGGAGGAUUGGCUGGAUAUAUCAAAAUGUACAUGAAGGUGUAAACACAUGGGGUGUUUAGACAUAUAUGCAUGAGAAAUAAUAUAAUAAUAACAUAAUGUUUUUGAUGAAAAUUAUUGAUAUGCAAUGUGUCAAGUGGCAAUAGUUUACAGAAACGGGGGAGAUCGAUCAUGAAUAAAUAUCUAGAUUGAGAUGAUGGGUGGCUUAAAUCGAUUUCAAUGAAUAAUAUCAGAGACAACCAUGGUAUAUGAUGUGAUCAAUGGCAUGGAUGGAGGGGGAGCCAAAUGGAGGGGGAGCGCACGACAAGAUGUGUCGUGUAAAUCCCACGAAAUAGUUAACUUCUCUCUUUGCAUAUUAUUUUUAUUAAAAAAAAUGAUUGUGUUUCUUUUUUAUACUAACCGUAACAUUGUUAGUCCUUUGAAAUAACAUUUUACAUGAAAUCGUUACUAGUAAUCAACUCUCCAAUGGUGGCUUUGAAAGUUCCUAAAAAAAAUGGUGGCUUUGAAAGUAAUUUGACAUAAAAAUGCUCUAAUGGUAGUAAAAAGAGUAACCUCCCAUGGCGGUGCCUUUCCAAAUGUUCUCGCCGCCGACAGCGACGUCGGAACUAGUAAACAUGUUGAAACAAUUCACCUGCCAGAGACAUAUUGUUGGUGGUGAUUCUGCAGUGGUUGGCAACCUGUGGCAGCAACCAAUUCUGGUGUUAUGAUGGUGGUUGGGGCGACAAUGAUCAAGACAACGGCGGAGACGGUGCUUGCGGCUUUUAUGAAGGUGCUGGUCAAGAGACGUGUAAGCACAGAUGUGUUGAAAGCUUGUUCGUGUGGGUUCGUGCAGUUUUUUUUUAUCGUGCGAUAUAGCAACGCUCUUGUUUUUUUUUUUUUUUUUUUUUUUUUAUAAAAUCUAGUAAAAGUAAAUUUUUAUUGGUAGGUUUAAAGUUAGAGAAUCUUAUUCUUGGAUCUACCCUGAAUAAUUACAAAAACAUUGUGAACCAACUUAGAAUCUUAAAUGGUAUAAAAAAAAUUAGAAUCUUAAAUAAGUAUGCUUCAGUAUUUUGCCCUAAUGUUUUCUUCUCUUUAGAAAUAGAAAUGAGUCGCCUACCUUUUUAUUAUUAUAUUUUUUCUAUAACUCAGAGCCAUUCUUUCUCAAGAGUGGGUUCUCUCCAUAUUUUUUUCCACUCAUUUUUUAAUAAUAAAAAAGAAUGUCUUUUACUUGUACAUAAUAUUAAAAAAAAUUCGGUUGAAAUUUAAUUUUAAACUUAUAUUCAUUUCAGUUUUUAUACUUUACAAAAAAAAAAUGUAACAAUGAAAAAAUUAAAUGAUAAAAGUAGCAAUAAAAAUUAAACCUAGGUAUAAAUUAAUUUUAGGUAAAUUAAUAAGGGUAAAAAUGAUAAGAUAUACGAGUUAUAAUCUCAACCGCUAUUCAAAAGAAUGAGGUCCAUUCCUUAACACUUCAAUACCUUCAUUUAAACCUGCCUAACAAAAAUUUAAUUUUUUGACAGGAACAAUGGGAAUGUCGGUCGAACAUUGGAGUCCUGCCGUUUGACAAGUUUGAAUUACCUCAUUCAAAGGAAGACAAUUGUUGUAGCUGGAAUGUGCAUUCAUUCGAUACCUAAUGACGAUCUUCUGGUGGAAUCAAACUUUUGAUGAUAUCUUCAGUUGAUCUCAGCAACGUCACCCGCAUAUCGAUCCACUGGAACAUGUUGUGCUCCCAAAAUAUGCUCGUCACGUUUUGGUCGUUCGUUAAUUCCAUCCAAGUGAAUGAUACUCUCCCAUCGUCGAGCGUUGGAUGUUUAUACCGAACGUGUUCCACCCACCUUGUGUCUCUGGGGUUGAUUCCUUGGUUGAAUUCAGCCAGUUCAUCCUUGAGACCUCUUAACGUUACACCAACCUUCAUCCUCUGAGGUUCUCCGCCGUUGAAUUGUGCAUGAACAUCGAUUCACUCGGCCACUGUUUCAAAUCUACACAAUUAGAAAUUAAAAAUAAUCAAUGAAAAACUCAUUCAAACACUUGUAGUGAAAAUUUGACAUAAACCCUAAAAAUCCAAAACAAACCCUAAAAAUUUUAUAAAAUUAAAAAAAAAAAAAAUAUAAGCAAUAUAACUUCAUUAUAAGAGGUAUUCAUAAUAUAUGUUAAUAGCAUUUUAGAUCUACAACAUAACUAUAUUAAAAACAAAUAUUCAAACCUUACAAAGUAUUUAAAAUUCGAAAAAAAAUAUAAAUUCAAGCAAUAUAACUUCAUUAUAACAUGUAUUCAUAAUAUAUGUUAAUAGCAUUUCAGAUCUACAACAUAACUAUAUUAAAAACAAAAAUUCAAAAUUUAAUAAUUAAACAACAACUAAAAUUAUAAACAUAUAAACACAUAUACUAACUAAAAUGUAUGACAAUAGCAUAAGUGAUAACUUACUUGUGAUUUAGUGGAAGAAAUUUUGGAUGAUUUGGUAGAGUUUUUUUAGUUGGAGAGAGAGAGAGUGAAAAUUUGAGAGAAAGAUGGUGAUGGUGAUGAUGGAGUGAGUGUUUGGAUUAUGACUACUGACUUGAAUAUAUCACGAACACAAUGACAGUUAACAACUGCUGGAAGCUAGUGGCAGUUAACUGUUGGCGUAUGAUCUAACGGUUGUUAACUGCCGCUGGAGUAAAAGCGUCAUUUACUUAUAUCAAUAGAAAGUAUUCUAUGUCAAAAACAAUUAUCUCACACAAGCCUCGUCAUUCGAAUCAUCUCAGUUUUUUAGUAUCAUGUUUGCAUUCUUACAAGAAUCGAAUCAUGGUAAAACCUUAGAAAGGUUGAUUCAGAUCAUGUUGUAUUUUUUUUAUAAAUGGGGAGUUAUACAAAAUCUGAUUUUAAUAGAAUCUAGAUUUGUUCGAGUUUGAAUCUCUAUUUGCUUGACCGUCUAGUUUUAGUUGUCGUUGUUAUUUGUUUGGACAUGUUGAAUUCACAACACUUAAAAAAUAGAGGUAGUAACCAUUUUUGUUUACAAAAGGAGGCAGUACCUAAUAUGACAUCAUAUUAGUAAAAAUAUUAUGUAAUUUUUCAUCCUACAAAAUUCCAAACAACUAUAUUAUUUAGACACACAAAAAUUAACACCUUAUACAAAUGAGUGUGGAUGUUGAACUCGUGUGAUGAGAGCGGAAAAUGGCAUGUGCUAUGAGAAAAAUAUAUAAAAGUUGAAAACCGCAUAAUUAUACGAUGUUGUACUUAGAUUGUGUCCAAAACAUUUCUCAAUACUUACAAAUAUUAAUUGUUAGUCUUUCAAAAAAAAAUAUAUUAAUUGUUAGUAUAUGAUGUUAGUGUGUAGUCGGGACUAAAAAGUGAAAACGAUGACUACAAAAAUAGGAAAUUUUAAAGAGAAUAAAAAUAUAUUUAAUCCAAAAAUUUAACCGUAAAAGUUAUCUACACUAUAUAUAUAUAUAUAUAUAUAGUGUGUUUUUUAACUAACUCUACAUAUAGCGUUUUAUUAAUCAUUUCUCACUACUUAGAUAUUUAAAUAUGUUUUGAAGGAAAUAAUACCAUAACAUAUCCAACUAAUAAGAUCUACUAGGUAUAUUAUAAUGGGGUACUCCCCCUGAUUUGUCCUUGCUUCUAUACCCACUCAUCAUGCUCAAGGUGCAAUCAGUGGCAUGGAUUCAGUUGGGAUGGGGAAGGAAAAAAAAAAGAUAUAAUUUAUUCACCUCCAAACUAAUUAACCACUAAAAUCAUUCUUGACAGUGCUGCUUACCUAAUAUAAACCACAUUUAGCAUUUACCUAAUUAGAUUAGAUAGUUGACCCUCAUGAUAAGGUUGUCUUUUUUUAGGAUGUUGUCUUCUUAAACCGUAACUUUUAGUAGGUACCUCUAUUGGGAGGAUAAGAAAAAUGGAUGGUUAUUACUUAUAUAGUUUGUCCUAUACAAUCAUCAUUUCUCUCAUCUAUGACGUGUGAUUAUGCAAAAAAAAAAAGGUGAAUUUUUUUAUUACAAAAAAUGUGUAUUUGUUGACUAAUAAAUGAGAUUAUAUAAUUUAAUAGAUUAGCUUUUGUUGAAAUAUAAAGAUGUAAUCAAAAUGCAAUAUACCUAAAAAGAAAAUGGUCAAAAAUGAAUUUCUUUUAGGGAUUGAUUGAAUUAAUGAAUUGAAAAACACGUUUCUGAAUGUAAAUGACCAAAAAUACAAUUAACCUUUUUUUUUUUUUUUUCCUAUGCUUUAUAUAUAGUGAUGUUGUUCAAAUAGUUCAAACAACAAUGGUUCCUAGCUUUCCGCCAAUUAUGAUGGCACCAAAAACGCCACACUAGACAUAAAAAAUGGUAAGAGACAGAGCUUCCUAUUGAAUUUCCAGACUGUCGUUUACCCCAAACAAAAACAUAACCCCAUUUUUGGACAUUAAAUCUAAUCAAAAUGGACACUUUGUUUUUUUCUUCUUCCUUGUUUGGGUUUUGGUGUUGUUGUUGUUGCACCUUCUCCAAAACCAAUUCUGUUACACUUUUCUUUUCUUUCCACCCAACAACAACAACGACGACCCUUUACCUUAACCUUUUAAAAAAUCUCAUUUUUCACUCGAAAAGUUACAUGUUUUGAGCAUCAAUAUGGGGAUAUUGUAUGGAAUGGUGGCAAGGGGACAGGUUGUUUUGGCCGAGUUUAGCGUGAUUCAAAGCAAUGCAAGUGUUGUAGCUAAACAAAUACUUAACCAGAUUAAUCAAGGGACUAAUAGUUACAAUGAUAGCAAUGUUUCAUUUUCACACGAUCGUUAUGUUUUUCAUGUUAGAAGAACCGAUGGCCUGACGGUUCUUUGUAUGGCUGAUGAAGCAUUCGGAAGUAUGCAUCAAUUUCUUCUAUCUCUCUUAUUUUUAUUGAUUGUGUUUGGAAUUUGGAUUGGUCAAUUGAAUGAAACAAUUAUGAUCCAAAUAUUAUGUUGUUUACCAUCCAUGAAUGAACUUGAACAAAUGUUCUGUUUGAAUGACUGCAGGAAGGAUUCCAUUUUCAUUUCUUGAAGAUAUUCAUAAUAGAUUUGUGAAGACAUAUGCCGGUGCAAUUCUUUCAGCUCCUGCCUAUACCAUGAAUGAUGAAUUCUCAAGGAUCCUCAGCCAACAGAUGGAUUAUUACUCUACCGACCCAAAUGCUGAUAGAUUAAACCGUCUCAAAGGUGAAAUGACUCAGGUAAGUUCACAAUCGUUAAUUUGUUUCUCUAUAUGAAAAAAAGUUGAAUGCUGGCUAAUUAUGUUCCAUUUAUUUACAUUAAGAUAUGAAGACUAAAUUAUACCUUAAUAUAUUUGUGGUAUGAUAAAUAUAUAUAGGUGAGAACCGUUAUGCUUGAUAACAUUGAGAAAGUGUUGGAGAGAGGUGGUCGUUUGGAAAUGCUGGUUGAGAAAACAGCAACAAUGAAUACCAAUUCAGUUCGUUUCAAAAGGCAGGCUCGUCGAUAUAAAAAUAACAUGUGGUGGAGUAAUGUUAGGCUAACGUAAGUGUCAAUUUCUAAACGUUGAGGUUAAGCUUUUUGAUUAUUUAAAUUUAAAUUUCUAAUGUUUCUUCAUCUCUUCUUUAUGCAGGGUUGCACUCAUUAUGAUUUUUGCCAUCGUCUUUUACAUUAUACUCGCAUUUAUGUGUCAUGGUCCUUUUCUGACUUCGUGUUGGAGAUAAGCUCUCAAGGCUAACUGUAAAUUUUAUUUUAUUUUUGCAAUGCUUUUUUGACCAAUAAUGUAUACUGGGUCAAAGAAAAAAGAAAUAUUCAUACUUGUAUUUAUUGGGAUGCAAUGUUACCGUUUUAGGCUAGUGCACGUUUUAGAAAAUUGUUACGCAAUGUGGAUGAGUUUGCAUUGCAAGAUACCCUAUUGUAUGGGUAUAUUUACAAUUCUGAAGGAACACUAAUUUUUUCCCUAUUGUUCCCUUCAUUUCACUCGAUAUUCUAAUUAUUUGAAAUGUGUCAUUUAAAUUUCUUAUUUAUAUGUUAAUUCUUCUCUUAAAUUAGGCCAAACAUUUAGCAUCCCCCAUGACAAUCAAGACUUGCAAAACUUAAGGUAAGAUAAAACUAAACCAUCAAAGAUUAUAACUAGAAAGGCCAGGGUUAAAAUCUUGAAAACUAACCUAGAAACCUAAUUAUAACACUUGAGGUGCUUAGGUUAAAAUGCCCCCAAAAAUGGAAAAAUACUUGGGUGACAUUGGUGACAUUGGCCAAUCACAAUGCCACAAUGCUUGUGUUUCUCUCUCUUUCACAAGCAUUGUGACAUUGUGAUUGGUCAAUGUCACCAAUGUCACCCAACUCUAUGUCACCCAAAUGCUACCCCCAAAAAUGACAAUUAGUGUCGCUUUAAUUUAUGUAUUAAAAAAAAGCUUGAAACCUAAUCAUACCUCUUCAUAACGAGUCAAUUUUUUAAAUAAUUGAUUAUUAUAUUAAGGUGACAACUAGGGUACCCAUAGAAGAAUGGUGGGUAAUUUACCCCAACCAAUACACAUUAGCCACAUAAGCAUAUUUUUAAGUGGUAUCCAUUAACUAUAUUGACACCACUAACAAAUUACUCAUUUUCAUUGGUUGGUGGGUAAAUUAUCCACCAUUAUUCAAAGGUAAUCUAGAAAAAACCUUAUAGUAAUGUUAAUGGAAGUGAUCGUAGUUUUAAUUAUUAUUUUAACAACUAUGACAUCACAUUCUCAGUAAUGACCAGCUAAUGAAACUUUCUAAUUACAAUUAAAACAUAAGAAACACUUUAAUUUAUAGGAAGUUGCAAUCCCUAAAUAAAUACAGAGCAGUUCAAAAGGAAAAAAAAUGUUGUACCUUUACAAGUAAAGACAAAGCCUUUUAUUUAAUUAAACAGCGAGCCAGUCGUUUGACUCAUCUUCAGAAUCCUUACCUUUCAAACGGAUUGCCUUCUGCCGGCCACCUCUCUGGCGUUCACUUAGCUGAACCCAAUCACUUGAACCAUCAGGUGAUGAACCCCUGAUGACCUCCCCAUGACUUGAUAAUUUAUUAUCAGAGCUAUAACUUCCAUCCUCCUCUAAGUCGCUGAAUGAGAUGUCUUCCUGUUGAUGUUUUGUACAGGAAGUCAAUGAAGUAACAUCAAUAUCAGUAUCUGUCAACCAUUUUUCACUAUUGACCGCAUCAUCGAUUUCCAAACCCUUUGCUGCAUUUGUAACCUCGGUCAAUAUCUUAUUUUGAUCAACUGUGAUACUUUCUGUUCCACUGUCCUCCUUACCCUCUUGAUGUGUACCCACAACAUCUGAUUUAUCGCAUUCUCCAGCCUGCAUAUCUUUCCUCUCUUCAAGUUUCCGUAGAAGAACCUCUCUUGCUUCAACAAUCUAACAAAAUAAAAAGAGAAAAACAUAUACAUAAUAUAUCAGACAGUUGGGCUUUGUUGUGGAAGGUUUUAAAAACUCCUCAAACCCUUCCCCUUGUUUAAAAAUAUGCUUUCAGAGACAAACCUAUAGUUGUGUAUGGAAGUUAGUGGGGAAGAGGAGGGAAAGACUUUGAAGGAGAGGGAAUGGGAGAAGGAUGGGUAACCUCUCACCUUGUUUGGAAAGAAGGGUAAAGCCUGAAAUGAGGGGGAUUAAAAAAAGCAAGUAAGGAAGGCAUUGGAGGAAAGUUUCUAAAAAAACCUCAAACCCUUCUCCUUUGUUUUAAGAACUCCCAAGCAAGUGAGAGAUUUUAAUAAACCCUCCCCUCCCUUUCCCUGUUAUCCAAAACCCCCCUCCAAACAAAGCCUUAGAAAAUGUUUCCACCCGAAUACGUUCAUAUAGAGCACAAGCCAUAACUAUCCAUAAAUUUAUCUUCGAUUACAUAAAUAUCGAGUGCAAUAGACCAAAUAAUCUGACAAUACUUAUUUUAAUAUAACUGAAUCAUAAGGAUAGAAUGCCAUGAAUAAAGCAAGGACAAACACAAGCUACAGAGGAAACUCGUGCCAAUGAUCUAUGAUAUUUUAUCAAAAAACAAUAACAUAACCAGGCCAUGCAGAGACUGGGUACAAAUAAUAGCAUUAGUAUUUACACAUGUAUCACAUACAUGAUACAACACUACAAGCUGCAUUUUAGAAGAAUAAUAUAAUAGAGAGCAUUACUUCAAUUAAGCAUGUAAAAAUAAAAUAAAGCAUAACCUGUCAUCAAGAGCAUAUGACAAUGGUUAUAUGAAUAUCACCACAAUACUUCAUAUACAAUGCUUUAUGUUCUCCUGACUACAAUCAAUUUUUAUUACUUAUGUGUACUAUACAUGUUCAGCAAAACAUGCAAUAAUUUGUAGUUUUCUGAGUCGCAAUCACCAACAAUGAAAAAAUACAUAUAUAACAUGUUUCACUGGUAAAAUGCAUGAAUAAAACUCACAUAAAAAAGUGGCUUCAAAAGGCUAAUGACUGCAUAUACAUCAAAGGAAUUUACGUAUUUAACAAAAGCUUGGCCUUGUUAUUAUUCAUAUGAAAGUAAGAAAAUAUUGAAUAAACAUAACUUGCCUUUGGAGUCGAUAGGCACUCAAAGUCAUGCUGAUUAAGUCUUGGAAGUAUUAACAAAAAAUAGAUCAUCCAAAACUUUUCCACGUUCAUGUAACUGCAAAGGUUCAUUCUAAGUGUAACAAAUUCAGGCACCAGUUGCUCUAUAGCCAGUGCAUGUUCUCUUUGAGAAUUGGACAGGCUGCAAUCUGCUGAGAAAGAAAUCAAAUUUCCGUAUUAAUAUAUGACAAUCUUAUAUAUUAGUGAAUACAAUAUAGCCAAAAAAAACAUUCAUUUUUCUUCAUUUUUUUUCUUUAUUGUAUUCAUUCUAUCUAAAGAAUAAAGAUUCAAUAUCAAAACCAUUUCUCUUCAAUGAAUAUUUCUGUAAGUAUUAAACUAGAUACGUGCUAAGAAAAACACAAGCACUAUGGACUUUAUAUUGACAGGGAGUGUGAACUAGCUUCACAUGGAAAUAGUUUAUUUUGAAAUCAGCAUUGCAUCAGUUUUUCAUAGAAAUUUCCCCAAUAUAAUUCUAAGAAAUGACAGGCAAAACAAUAAAAUUUGCCAAAUAAAACUGUAUUUUGUUAUACAGAAGCAAUAGCAUUAAGGAUACAAUACAAAAUAGUAAACAAGCAAGAGUAAGAGUUAUCCAUGACACAUGAUAGGGUGCUGAACAUAAAACCUGCAGUUGGGUCUGAUGGAAAUGUUUUAGUGGGUAGGCUUUAAUCGGAAUAGACCCAAUGUUUGGAGAGUUUAUAGCGUAAGAAGAAUAAAUAGGAUACUGCUGAGUGGUAGCUGCUGCCACUUCAGCAGUUAGUUAGAAUAUUUCGAUAUAAUGAUUAGUUGGAGAGUCAUGCAAGUAUUCUGUUAGAACCUGAUGGUUGGCAGAGAGAGAAAGAGACUCUACUCUGAGGAGCAUUAUAUUGCUCUGGUUGUUUGUAUGAUAGCUUGCUCUCUUUUUCUUGUCAUUUCAGUAAUAAUGCUCACAUAAUGAGUAAGAUGAACCUUCAAUUAUUUCUAAAAUUUGUUAAGACAUUAGCCUUUGCGUAUGAACCUUGUGACUUGUGAGCUUAAUAGCUAAAUAAAAUAUCUGUAUUUGAGUACAAAAUGCCAAAAAAUAGAUCAAUUAAAGUUGCCUCCUUAAAAAAAUUAAACUGAAUUGACAUACCAUUUAUUCUUUAGAUAAUCUCUAUAAAAAAUGAUAGCCUUGAGUAAGCAUGCAUCCAAGUUCAGACUGAGGGGAGGUUAAGGUAGCCCUGUUCUAGGGUCAUGGAAUGUCAUAAACCUUAACAAAAGGUUAUGAUUGCACUAAUAGAUUACCUACCAAUGAAGUAUUACAUGUGGUAUUUGAACUCAAGACCUUUUUGUUGACAUUGCUUUAUCUUUAAGGGAUUGAACUCAAGACUUUUUGUUGACAUUGCUUUAUCACUAAGAAAUUAAACUCAAGACCUUUUUGUUGACAUUGCUUUAUGUUUACCAGAUAAACCUACCCUUAUUGGCACAAAAGGAUUUCAUAGACAAACUAAGGUAUCACUUCCAACCCUGAAAACCCUUUUUACCAAACUCUAUGCCACUAGCAUUCACCAUUGUCACUAAUUUAAUUAAAUCAUCAAUUAUACCCGAUCAAAUUCAAUAUGUCAUGUCAUGCAUUCCUCCCAUCUUGGUAGGAAACAUUGCCUUCCCGCCGAUUAUUAUAAACUAUCUCUAUAGCACUGACACUUCUGGUGGAAGGCAUGUCCGGUGUCCAACACCGACACAUGUGAUUACAUUUAAUUAAUUAAUUUUUUUUUCUUUUUCAAAAUUCUACUUCUUUAUGCUCAACUCAACUUAAUAAGAAAAAAGUCAUUAAAUUAAGAGAACAUGUAUAGAAUUAAGUAACUAAUCAGUUUCCAUAACUAGAUUAUACAAAGGAGAUAAUCAUAAUCAGAAGAAAUUAAUAAAUUUAAUUACCAUUAUGGAGUGGGAAGGGAAAUUCGGUCCAACACUCGGGCCUUGAAGAAAUCUCCUUGACGAAACGAACAACAUCAUCAGUUGUUCCAGGCACCGCACCGUCAUCAUCUUCUUCAUGAUCACGCUCUGACUGCAACAAUUGAGAAGCAAGCUUUGAAAUUCCGGUGACGGCUUUUCUUGGGGAGAGAAGAGAGAGUGAGCUCUUGAAGCUUCCACCGAUUUCGACGAGAUCGUUGCGGAUUCCGGUGAGAGUUUUUGAAGGUGAGGUUGACUCACCAGAGGAAGCGGAAGAAGAAGAUGAUGAAGGAGGUGGAGCGAGGAAGUUGGCGACACCGCGGAAAAUAAGGGAGAGGUCUUCCUUGACGCCAUGAUCGACGGCGGUGGACGGCGGUGGUGGAGAGGAGUGGGUGGCGGUGCGGUGAAGAUUGGAAGAUUCUGUGUCAGGGUUGUUGGACUUGAAGAGCCAAGACAUUUUUUCUCUGUAUUUUAAAAAUAAUAAUAAUUUUUUUUUUAUAUAUAAUUUGAAUUUAAACUGUUUAUGCUGUUAAUUGUGUGAAUAGCAGCUUUGGGAAUUCAAUUCAAUCGAAGGGUUUUGGAAAUAUGCAAAGGGAAGGGGAGAGAUUCAAAUGAAAGAGAUAUAAAGAAGAAAUGAACCUUGGCUUAGCUUUCUUUUUAAAAUAUUCAUUGGAGAAAAUUAAAUUAUACUCAUAGUAUAAGAUAGGAAAAUAUUUUCAGCUCAAACUACAACAAUUAAACUCCUUGAACCAUCUCCUCAAAAAAAAUAAAGAUCCGUGAUUCAAUUUUUUUUUUGUACAAAGGAGAUGUUGAGACCCUCAUGGACACGGAAAUAGAUUUGUGACUUUAAUUUGAUUUGCUAAAAAAAUGACAAUAACAUAGAACAACUUUAGUUGUACAACUUUCGAUUUGUAAAACUGUUUCAGGAAUAGAAUAAACUGAAGGCAAGAUAUAUGAUAAAAAUUGAAAUUGUUGUUCCUCUGUUAAAUCAUAGCACAACUUUUCGUCUCAAACACAGGUUGUCUAAGAUACUAAAAUAACAUUUUAUCUAUCAAAAAUCAUACAAGACCAAAAGUUAUUCAAUACUAUAAAAGUUGGAUUAAUACAUAUUUUGGUCCUUUAACUUAUUUUUGGUUUUUAUUUUGGUCUCUAACUAUAAAGUGUCUCAAUUUGGUCUCAUAAGUCUUCCUCCGUUUACUAAUAUGGUCCUCUGCGUUAGUUUUUUAAUGUCUAAAUUUUUUUAUGUGAUUUUAACCAUUUGAUUGCAUGUCCAUUGUAUCUAAUAGUGAACCGUCAGCACCUAAUUUUUUUCACUUUUCAUCAUCUUCUCUCUUCUUCUUCCUCAUGUCGUCAUUAACUUCCAGAUUUUUUUGUAAUUGAAACUUAAAUUCAAAAAAAAAACCAAACCUCAGCUUUACAAUAUCACAAAAAACCAAUAAUCAAAAUAUCUAAAAAAUAAAAUCUGAGUUCCAUCAACAGUCACCAUAACAGAGAAGAAAAAGAAUUCAUCCUAAUCCUUUUAAUCCCUUCACCAUGUUUAUUAAAAACACCUUUAAAAUUCAAUUCAAUUUUUUAACUAAUAAUUUCUUUUUAUAAAUAAUAACACUAUAAAAUCUGAGUUUAUAUUUUUAUUCUUCAUUCCCAAAUCAAAACCAAAAAGCGAUAACACUAGAAAACCUUUUUCUUCUUGCUUCUCUUAAUAAAAAAUUGGAUUACCUAAAAUCUUAAUCCCUUUUCUUCUUCCUUCUCGAUCUGUUGUUGCUCUUGUUGAUUUGAUAAUAAACACGUGCUAUGAGAAAGAGUACCAUGAGGGGCGCUUUCAUGUUUAAGCGAAGAAACAACGGAAGGGAUUUUGGUACGGUGUUUAAGAAGCCAAUCAUGUUUCAAGACACCAAGGGAGGUUGAGAAGUAUUGACGAUUGAAUCAGGAUCUGGUUUCUUCUUACCGAAGAGAUUGAUUUUGGAUAAAUCUGGAAGUGCUAAUGUGUCGAUUGGUGGUUGUUGUGAUAAUAGGGAGGUUGAGAUUAACGGAUGAAGAUUGGGACAACCUACCAUGGAGGUUAGGGUUACUGGUGGUGUUACAAACACAGAACCUAAACACUUCUUUUUUCUCUUAUAAUUUUAAUUCAUGAUGAUGAUGAUGAAAGAGAGCAAAAAAGGGUUGAAUUUGAUUUGCUAUUGUUGUUGCUUCAUUGUUGUUGCUGUUGUUGAUGAUGAUUAGAGUAUUUGGAGAAAUUCUUUUUUUUUUUUUUUUAAUUCAUGAUAAAGAACUUAAAAAUGGUUGAAUUUGGAUUCUGGAUUUUUUUUUUUUUUUGGGUUAAGAUUGAUGAAGAUGAGAGAAGAAGAUGAAGAAAAGUGAAAAGAAUAUUAAAUGUUAGUGGUUCACACUAAAAUACAAUAGACCCUACAUGAUCGAACAAUCCUCUUUUAAAGAAAAAAAUCAAAAGGUUAAAAUUUAAAAAGGUCUAUGGUGGACCAUCUUUAACCAUGGUUUACCUUAGAUAUUUGAUGUUAAAAACUAACAGAGAGGACCAAAACAAUAAACGGCAGAUGAUAUAAGGGACCAAUUUGAGACACUUUAUAGUUAGGGGACCAAAGUGAAAACAGAAAAUAAGUUAAAGGACCAAAUGAUGUAUUAAGCCAUAAAAGUUUGAUGUGUGUUGUCCCAGCGGCUAGCACAAUUUUUACGAGGGGGCAAAAUAUAAAGAAGAAAUAAAAUAUAUUUUGAAAACUAAUAUAUGAAAUUUAAUCAAUAAUGAAAAUAAAUUUACAAUAAUUAUUGCUUAUAUUUAAUGAAACGACAAUGAAGAAACUAAAAUCUAACGAUGAUUAUUUAUAAAAGUUGAACUCUAUAAAGUUUUAAGAAAUCAAAUUUAUCUAUAAUUGACACUAAAUUAAAUAGAUUAUCAAUAUUUUAUUAACAUUAUCCAUCUUUAAACCAACAAAAUUGUUCGGAGUAGUCAAAUAAUAUAUUAAUGGGGUAGCCAUAUACAAAACUAUACUAUUUUUUCAAGUUUUUUUUUCUUCUUUUGGGGUAGCCAUUGCUACCCCAUUCACAUACUAUCAUUCGCCCUUGUGUUGUCUUGUCGUGUACUGUAAUGUCUAGCAUUUACUCUUUAUCAGAUCAAAAGUUAUUCAAUAGCAUAAAAGUUUGUCGUGCGCUGUUUUGCCUUAUGUUGUAUUGUUCCAUCUUGUAUUGUUCUGUCCAAUACUUACUGUUUAGCAGAUCAAACGCACAUAUUUAUAAAAUACGAAAUGAAUCAUUAAACUAAAGAAAAAUGCUAACAAAUGUUUUUGGAAUUUUCAAUAAAAAUAUAUAUUUUUGGGUGCUUGUUAAGGAGUUAAAUAUAAUAAGAUGAAAAUAUAUUACUUAUAUGAAAUAGAAGGAUUGCUUAAUAGAGAUUGAUAUUCUAUUAAGCAAGUCAGUUCUACAAUCAAUUUACUUUUAUGACAUGAGUAUAUUUUGCCUGCCAUUUUGUCGCUGUGAAGAGAUUUAAAAAAAUUGAAUUCUUUUUUGUAGGUACAUAAUAAAAAUCAUUCAAAAUAUGUUCAUUGACUAUCUUGAAAUCAUUUCAUUAAUCAAAAGAACGAAGGAGGAAUGUAAUUUAAGGUUUUGUUUGGGAGUUUGAAGGGGAGGGGAGGGUUUUGAAAAAAAGAAAGGAGCAAGUGGAAAAAAUAGAAGAUAUUGGGAGGAGAGGGCUUUUGAGGUUAAUUUUUUUUCCUCAUAAUAAAAAACCUCCCUCAUUUGGAGGAACUCAAAAAUUGUAUUGGGGGAGAGUUUUGGAGGGUUAUGGAGGGUUUAUAUGAAUUUUUCAAAUUCAAUCUAUGUUGUUAUAAUAUUCUUAAAAUUAAAAGUAUAUUAAUCAUAAGUAUUAGUUUAUCAUUCUCUAAAAAUUUAUUCUUUCAAAAAAUGUGAAUUUUUUGUCAAUUUUACUAUAUAUUUUCUUUUGUGUGAAUCUUGACAAUAAUUCAUAUUGAUCACUGUAUCACACCAAAUAGUAUCAUGAACUAAGGGUGUGUUUGUUUCAAGUUUACCAAAUUUAUUCCUAGGAAUAACAUUCCUUGGAAUAUAAAGAUGGGAAUUUUAUUCCAAGGAAUUUAGGAAAAAUAUAUUUGGUUAUCUUUAUAAUAUUCCUAGGAACCAUAAAAAUAGGGAUUAUAAUAGGUAAACUAUUUAUGAAUUUAUUCUCAUCUUCAUGGAAACUUUAUUUCCACCAUUUUCCUUGGGAAAUUUUUUCUAUUCCCAGGAACAUUUUAUACCAAGGAAUAAAUUUUAGUAAACUUGUAACAAACAUAGGCAUAUACAUUUCUAUCAUUUUAUUUCCAGGAAUCAACAAUUAUAACUUGAAACAAACACACCGUAACAUAUCUUCCACCCACACUACAUGCACAUGAAGUGUUCCUUCCAACAACAAUAGGAGAUAAUUCCUCCUCAAGAUCAAUUGACAUCUCUUUAAAUCUCCUUGUUAUAUCAUAUCAAUAAAUUAGAAUAAGAAGGUCUUAAUCUACAAUAAUUUUACUGUAACAUGCAACAUUUUCUGGAGCUGAACAUGUGUGAGGUUUGAACAUUUCAAAUGUCUUCUCAACGUCUAUUAACACUAUUUUAAAGUGAUAAAAAAAAAUCUUUUUUAUUCGCCUCAUCAAUUAAUUUAACUUUUUGUAUUUCAAAUAAACCAAUUUAUUAGUCGUGAGGGUAACUUAUACAAUUGACUUUUUCUUAUUGAGAUCAGAUUACACAUUAAAUAUGGUCAACUAUUUUUUUUAGGUUGAAAGUCAACUACAUUUCUAUAUUUUUGUUUAUACUCUCUCUAUUUCAAGUUUAAUAUCGUUUAAGAGUUUUACACACAUACUUAAUAAAAAAUAUGUUAACGAAUAUCUCCGAAACACUUUUUAAAGACUUUAAAUAUUUAACUUUUUUAAGAAAUAAUUUCUUAUUUUGGAUUGCUGUCACAAAGACACUCGUUAACAACAAGACCAUAUUUUUAUUAAACUAAUCUUAUUAAAUAUUUAUGUGGUUCUCACCAUCAUAAAUACAAUGUACUGUAUAGUAUUUUCAAGCAGAUAACAUUAAUUAGAAGACAUGGAUGGAAAAAAAUCAAUGAAAAAAUAAAAUUCAUUUUAAACACUUUAAAAUAAAGAAACACUUGUUUGAAAAGGGAUGUAGUACUAAUAUUUUGAGAUAAGUAUAUAUAUUGGGAUUACGCAAAAUGAGGUUAUGUACUUACGAACAAUCCAUCACCGAAACCGUAAAAAGGAAACAUUAAAACCGAUCGAGUGCAUAAGUACAAGGCAAAUGUCCCUCGUUCGUUCGUGUAUAUACGAGACAAGCUGUAUCAAGUUGUCAACCCCUCAACCACUUCUCAUGUCAAAUUUACCCUUGACUCUUCUUCAGACCAUCACCAACUACGAUGCUUGUGAAUAGAGGAGUAUUAUCAUCUCUAACGUUUACAUUUUUAUUUGACUAAAUUAAUAUAUUUUCAGAUGCAUUUUUAAAUGUUAAAUGUAUUUGAGUUACAUCUUAGGAGUUAGUUUAAAGGAUAAGGGUCCCCAAACACGUUUCUACAUUCAACGGUGCAUGAACUUGGACAAUGUGUAACUUUAAACAACUUCAAUAUAUUCACAUUCACACCUUGUGCGAGUUUUCGAUCCAAUUCUCAUUUUUGCAAUCCUUAAAUAACAUGUUAAAUGAGUUUGAAUCUCAUCCCAAAAGUUAGAUAAAAAAAUAAGAACAUUCAAACACAUUUAUACAUCCAACAGUCUGAGAACUUAAGCGAUAUAUAACUUCAAACAACUUCAACAGAUCUAACUUCAUGUAACUAACAUCUACAUUGUAUGAAUGCUGAUACGGUACCGUACCAGGUAUGAGUACAGGAUACAUGAUUUUUUGAAAGAAAAAAAAAAACUAAGUUACUUUAAUAUAUGCAGUGAAACGUCUUUUAUUAUGUAUAACAUUUAAAAAAAAAAAAAAAAAAAAAACAUUUAACAAAAAAAAAAUAUAAAAGGAAAAGUCGUUCAUAAAAUUACUAUAACACAAAUCAAAACAAGAUUAGAAUAUUCAUAGAAAAAAUAAAAAUAAAACAGAAUCAGAAUAGAAGAAUGAUAUAUAUAGUAGAUUAGUAGGUGUUGGAGAAAUGUUAAUUAUAUAGUAAAAAAUUGAGAAAAAUAUAUACAUCAUAAUAACAGGAAAAUUAUCAACAUGAUAAAAAAAUCUUAUAAAAAAACACCAUGAAAAAAGAAUUAGAAAACCUAAUUUUAUAUAAAUUUUGUAGUAAAAAACAAAUAUAUAUUUAUUUAUUGAACCGUGGAUACAUACAUGUACUACUUCACAACAUCCUCGUCUCAUAGGAGCAUCCCGCUUUGAAAACGAAAAAUGAAAUAUUUGAAAAGGAAGCUCAAGUUACACACAUUAUUAUCUAGUAUCAACAUAACUGAAGAGCUUUGGUAGGUAGUUAACUUCAAACAACAACUAUAUAUUUUAGAUUCAUCCUUCUAGAAGAAAGCAAGCCUAAAAAAUAUGAAGUAGAAACAUAUUACAAAAUAUGACUUAAUACAAAGCAAUGAAUAAAAAAAAUUUGUUCCUUGCACUAAAGUUACUCAGUUUACAGUCUUGACAUAUAUUUUCAUUGGAUAAAUUUUGGUCUGAUAAACACAUAAUGAAUAUACUUCCCACCAUGUACAGGGAAUGGAAACUGAAAACAAUACCAAUUCAUCAGGAGCAAAUUUCCUGCUAAUGCGUUAACAGUAACCAAUCAGGGAUAAAAGAAAUUCUAAGUCUGAUUAUCAAUUACCUUGUACAUAAAAAAUCAUAUAGCCAAAACCCUCAUCUGCUAUUUAUUCAAAAAGAAUUUCUCUCUAGCUAUCUAUGGCACACAUGACCUAUGAUACAAAUUUUCUGUUCUCCCACGCAUACAACCAAAUGCGGAGUAUCCAUGUUUUUGCUCCUUAUCCACAAGAAAUGUUUAGAUGAGGCCUGUGUAAGGAUUGUACGAUUGAACAGGCAUACCUGAGCCAUAGGGGUGAACUGUGGCUCCAUAUUGAGGAUUUCCAAAAGGAUUUGCAGAUUGUUGUUGAGGGGCCAUCGUCAUCAUUUGCUGCUGCUGCUGCUGAUACAUGAAAGCCUGUUGCUGGUUUGACAUAGCUGCCAUUUGAACAGAAUGUGGAGCAGCCAUUGUAUUAGAGGCAAAAAAUGGAUCGUGCAUUGUCGGUUGCAUCAUGCCUCCAGCAGGUGCUUGCUCCCAUGGAUUAUAGCUAGCAUUUUGGUUAUUUCUUCUCAGUGCAUCAUCAUAUAGGCUGUCUAAUGUAAGCAUGUCCAAACCUCCAGCCUGAAUACCAAAUGAGUCAUUUCACUUAUUAACAGAAACAUCAAGUAUACAUGCAAGCAAGGGUAAUGAUUGUGAUUCGUUUAGAUGCAUACACAAAUUAAGGGAAAAAUUCCACAAAUUAUAUGUGCUGAUAAAACAUUAAAUGUAGUUUACUACUCCCUCAAUCCCUAUUUAUAAGGAUCAUUUAAGGAAAAAACUUGUCUCUGAAUAUAAGCACUCUUUCGGAUUACUGGAUGCAUUUAUUGCUUUUUUUCAAAGAGUAUAUCCCUAAUUAACACUACUAACCUGUCUUGGAAGAUGAAAAAUCAAUAUUGAAUAGUACAUUUAUAAACUAAGGGCAAUUUAUUAAUAGUUAUACACGAUAUACAUAUUAAAUACACAAUCAAUUUUUCUUGAUAUACUAGUAUGUGAAAAUUGGCAAGGGCCUUAUAAAAAGAUACCAAGGGGGCAUCGAAGAAGAAAGCAUACCAAUUUGCUAGCUGCUGCAGCACUCUCAUUUGAGCUAGGAGCUGUAACAAGAGCCAAUUCCCACCCAGCGGUUCCAUUUGCAUGAUUUGAAACAGCCGAAGGUUGUUGAUCAGCUGAAACCAUCAUUUAAAAGAGAUUGUAUGAGUUGAGGCCAAGACAUGAUAUCUAAUUUCAAUAUCAAACUGAGCAUUCUAAUCUUAACUCUUAAGUUUGUAACUACCAGCAAAAUGCAGAAAAUAGAAAAUGAUGCUGGAAUAUAGUUCAUUUUAUACGGAUUAUACGGAUUAGUCCUACUUGCUCCAUUCCAAAUUAGCAGUUGUUUAAGAUUGCUAUGCAAAUAUUAAGAAAAGUAAUAAUAAAUUUGCUAAUGGACAUGGUAGUUUUACUAAAUUAACCCUAUUCGUUAAUAAAUGCAUGCUUGAUGAUGUCGUUGGUUCAUGAAAAGUUGUAAUAAUAACCACGUCUCAUAUGAUUAAUGUAGUGAGGGAAAAAUUGGGAAGAAAUUAAUGAUGACAAAGUGACAUUUAGUUUGGAAUUUUUUACUUUUGCUAAAAUGACUAUUAAUUUGGAUCAAAGGAGUAACAAUGUGAAACAUCGCUCUUCUUGAAAAGAAAAGAAAUUCAGUUGCUCCAACAAUCCAAUUACUAUUGUUAAUUAUUUUUGAAUGUGCAGAUUAACUGGCUUUUAUUCAAUGUCUUAACAAAAUAGAGGCAAAAGGCCAAAAAAUUACCGGGAACGAUGGCUAAAGCCAAGGCAUUCUUCUCUUCCAACUCUGCAGCAGCUGGAACAGGAUCUUCCAUAUUCUAGUAGGCAAAACAAAAUGGAGAGAAGCUUUUUAGUGCAGGCAAAGCAACUAAGGUAUAUGCAAAGCAACCAACGGUAAUUAAUACAGGGCAACAAAAAAAAAAAAACACAGUAAUUACCAAAAGAUCAGGUGGUGGUUGUACUGGUGGUGUUUCCACUUUCACAGGUUCAGACGGUGGAGGGGGUGAGGGUGCACGUUCCUCCUUCACUUCAGGUUCCUUAUUGUAUUCAAUAGCCAAAACUUCUUUUGGAGCAGCAAUUUUGUUGUCAACGGCCUGUUUUAGAUUAAAAUAAAAUGGAAGCACCGGUUAGUAAAUAUUUUUAAAGCAUAUCAAAUAGUGACUUCAUCAAGAUAUAGAAGAAACAUUUUGAAGUUAUAUGAUUGCAAUAACACAUCAAGUCCUGAAACAACUGGAGAGGAGAAACAGUACGUGGACGACAACUAUGAGCGGCUAAAAUACUAAUAUUGUCUCCCCAAAUACUAAUGUUACCGUGUAAUCCACUAGAUGUUUAUUAAAUACAAACUUGCACUUCGUACAUAAAGCCACAAAGAUUACUGAACAAAACAGGUAUUGAUGUUUGUACAUAUACCUGAUCCUUUCGAACUAUUGCUCCCUGGGGAGCAUCUUUGACAUAGUCUUCCAUGGCUUGCAUAAACGAUGACGGGGGCUUCAAUAUCAAAAAUCAGUUCAUUUAGCAUUGUAUUAUAUUUCAUAAAAUAAUGGAAAAGCAUUGGCAAAAGCAAGCAUGAUAUAAGAUCUAACCAACCUGCUCAACUUUGAUGAACUUCUCUCCACGUCCAAUAUCUAGAUUACGGCAUAUUUCAUAAAACUCUGAUAGUCUCUCAGCCUGGACCCAAAUAAAGCACCAUAGAACAUAAAUUUCAGGAAUACGUGAAUUUAAUAAAAGAAAACGAAAAUUUUGUCAUAAGACAUACCUGCAGCCCAACCCUUCUGUAUAUAUCAAGAGCUUUCAGAGCAUCUUCCCGUUGCAUCUCAAAAAACUGUCACAAAUACACAAUAGUCUCAUAAAUACAUGGGAGGUUACAUUAAGCUUCAAAUUCAUGAAGAUGACAUACCUUAUCAACCAUAUUAACAGUUCCAUCACUAAUAGCUUGAUAAAUUUUAAUGCUCUCCGAAGCAACCUAAUUGCAAUAUAAGGUAUGUUCAGAAAGGUGAUGAAAGCAAAAACAAACACAAAAUUAAGUAUGGUUAAAUAAGUGACCUACCAAUUGGAGUGCUAACUGAAUCACAAAAUUAUUUACAGCUGCUCCUUGUGGCUGCAGCAUACAAAGGUUAAAAACAAUUGGUACGAUAUUAAUGCUGCUGGCAUUAUAAAUUUUGUUCAUUUAAUUCAAACCAGUUGGAUCAAAAGCUCACCUGGCAACCAAUAACUCGAUAGAGAAGCUGUUGUAAAGCUGGCAACUGCUCUAGCAAUUCUGCAGUAUCCAAAUCUUUGGUCCUCUGUGACAAAGUUCAUAAUUGGUAAAUUUUCCUUAUUCAAAGAACAUGUAUGAUGUAUGUGAUGUGACGGCUACUAGUAUUAUAUUACUAUCGAAUAACAUUCAGAUAAUUCAGCUGCUUGAGAAAAAUUCAAAUUCUGAAACAUUAAGUUUAUAAUCUUACAGGACGAUCAGCCUCAAUGUCAUACUUCAACACGCGAAAACAUUCCAGCCUUUCCUCUAAAAAUAAUGCAUAACUGCGGACCCAUGCAGAAUAAUCCCAUGCUGAGCAACAAAACACGAAUGAAAAUACAACGUCAAUACAGAUGAUAAUUAAAUUUAUAACAAGAUCAAUGAUGGGGAUCAAGACAAGCACCAUUUGGACUCGAGUCAUCUUUAAAAUGAGCCAUGUUGAGCAUAUGACUUCUACUUCUCCCAUAAUUAAUGAGUUCUUCAUGAAAUGUGGGAUCAACCUCCCUCAGAGCACGGUGGAUGACAAUCAAAGUUUUCAAAGCAACCUAUAGAUAAAACCACUUGUCAAUAAACCAAAUAGAACGGCACAAACACAUUCACAAGCACAUGCUCAGUGGUGAAUUACAUGAGCACUACAGAAAUCGCAGAGGUAACUGAAAAAUUAGAAGAUAACGGCAGAAGUUGCGAUAUAAACAUUGCAGUACAUAUGCUCCUUGGUAUUUAAACAAGGUUAAACAUGCAAAACAAUAGCAUGGUGAUAAAUAAACGGAUAAAAGGAAGUCAUAAAAACAUGCAUCAGCAGAUUUUUGUUUAAAAUGUUAUCUAGAUAUUCAUUUAUGCCCCACUUUUAUUUGACUUUAAGGUAACACUGACGAUCAAGCCACGGUCUUCAUUGGGGAGGACAUUGGCAUAACUCAUGAUAAUGACAUAAAAAAUAUAAUGUUUCAUCAAACUUGGCAAGAAAGAAUAUAGGCAAACAUAAAUACUUGAUAAAAACUAGAUCACACAUUCCCAGUCAUUUAGUGAAUACAUUGGACGGUUUUUAUUCCAUAUAAAAAAGGAUAAGAUGUAAAUCACAGUGCACGUACAGCCCAGUUAUGUGUCUUCGAUAAUCGCCUGGCGAGAGCAUGGAUGCAAUAGGCAACGUCAGCCCUAGGUCUUGUAGCUGAGAUCGCUGAAAAUAUAGCUGCAAAAGAGAACACAUAAAUACUUGGAGUUAGAACCCUAACGUAUCCAACAAUUCCCUCGUAUACAAUCUAUAAAUAUGCAACAAAUAGUAUAAACAUAAAUUAAAUUAAAUAAUAUACAGAUCACAACAAUUACUUCAUGUACAAACAAUCAUAAUAAACGCGAUGUCCUUGGUUCAGAACAUUUGACAAACAAAUCGAUGACGUAGGGCGCGAAUCAGCGCAUAACUCCAAAGAAGGAAUCAAACAUUUGGAUAUUCAUCCAAAAAACACAAUCAUAAAGAGACGGAAAUAACACAAACCUCGAAUGUGUUUUUCCUUAGCCGGGCGUUCAACAUGAUUCGUUGCUCGAACGAUAGCAAUGUCCAACUCCUACAAAACGGUAAACCAAGUUGAUAAGAACAAACACAAAAAUACAUGAUCCAAUUCAACCAACAAAAUUUAUCUGCAAAUGAUUGAAUUCUACCUUGUAACCACUGUUGACCUUGGCCAAUGAGACGGUAGUGGUGUCCUUAAGAGCUCCAAGUGCUUUCCUCAAACUGUUCUGCGUUCCACCUGACAUAUUCUUCCUUUCACAAUUCCAAAAUCCUGAAAAACAUCAUCAAAAAAUUAAAAAAAAUAAUAAUAAUAAUUAGUCAUUGACAAAUAGAAGAAUUUGAUAAAUCUUAAAAUUGAAGUUGAUAAUAAGGUUUAGUUAAUCAGUGUUAUCAGAUCCAACUAAAAAAAACAAUAAUCACCGACAAUAAAAUAAAAUAAUGAGCAACAAGGUAUGAAUAAAAUCAUCAAGAAACAUAGUUGAAUAAUAAUAAUAAGUGAACAAAAUUAUUUUAUCUUAAAGCAAGAAGAACUAAGACAUAAACAAGAAGAACAAGAAAAAUAGAGGUAUAUGAUUUUGAUUGAAAAAGAAGAGAAAGUAACGCAUUGUUGAGAAGAAAAAGUGAGCUCACAGAAAUUUGUUGAAGCAAGAAGAAAAGGAGUGGAUUGUUGAGAAAAUCAAAAUCACGAUCUAUAAGGGUGGAGCUAGAUUUUUGUAUUAUAAGCUAUAAAAGCUGAAAAUGUUUAUAGAAGAGAGAGAGAGAGAGAGAAUCGCGUUUGUUUUUGUGUCUGCGACGAGAGAGAGAGAGAGAAAUAAAAGUCUCAACUCGACAGACAAUAUGAGCUGCUUGCUUCGUUUGGUUGGUCGUCGGCGUCUAUGACGUUAUUUUUUACUUUUUUUUUUGAGUCAAGAUUAAAUUCUAUCGCUCUACUUUUCUCUCACCUCAAUUUUUUUUUCUAGCAAUUUGGUGACUAGAAUUCACACAAUUAAAUAUGGAGAAUUGGGGUGUUCGGGUUCGAAUUCCGACCCCUAUAUAAAUUAUGCAAUGUCCCUACCAACUGAACUAAGCUCACGGGAACUCACCUCAAUUUAAUUUUGAUCAAAAUCAAAAGUAAACUAAAGUUGUUUUUUUUAACAUUUUUAGACAAAAUAAAUUAAUCCAUAAUUGUUCUUAGGGUGUUCAUCAGUUUACUUUGAUCGGUAGAAACAUUGUACUAUCAGGUCUUUUAUAAGAAAUAAAUUGGUCAACUAAAAUUGAUGUAUUUGAUUUAUAAUGUAGAUCAAAUACAUUAGUUUUUGUUGACUCAUUUAUUUCUUAUAAAAAAUAUUGUAUGGAGUAUUUUAUAUAUAGAGAUUAAAGUUCGAAUUUAAAACGUUUCGUUUAUUUAUUUUAGGAGGUCAAUUUUUGUCAUUAAGCUAUUUGACAAAAAAAUAUCUUUAAUUUUUAUUUAUAUUUAUAUUUUAUUAUAGUAGAUAGACUAAUUUAUCAUGAUAUAAGAAAUGAGGGAGACUAAUUUUGGAUUUUUGUUAAACUAAAUUAUAUUGUGAGAAGGUUGCAAAGAAUUAAGUUGGGCUUCACCAUUGAUAAGAAAAUUUGAAGAUGUUUAAUUUAUGCGUAAGUUUUUUAAUGGAAAUUAUAUAUGCGACGGUGAAAACUUGGUCUUGAACUUUGACAAUUGGAAAAAAGAAAAGAAACGCUGUACUGUAAUUAAAAAACGGAAUUGUACAAUUUGAUGGGUUAAUUAGCGUGUCAGAAAAUACGGUAUUGUAAGAAGUUGUACUACUGCUCCCUCCGCUCCUUCCGUGGUUAAAUUGGGAUUUGAUUUUGUCUCUAUCUUCCCCCUUCUUGUUCUUGGAAUUCUCAGAUGGCCCCACUUUUUUUCAUUUUAUUUUUACUUUCAAAACAUUUUUUAAUUAUCAUUGUAUGGUUGGUUGCUAACAUAAAUUUUAGAGAAAUAAUAUUUGUAUGGUUUUGGAAUAACUUUCUCUUUUAUUAUAUUCACAUUAUGUUAUUGUUCUUUUCUUCUUCUUUUUUUCUUCAAUUUUUUGUCACAAAUAAUUAUACAAAUAUCAAUACUCUAAAUUUAUGAUACAAUGAAUUGUUCACAAUAAUAUCUUUAAAAUAUUUUAUAUUUGGAAAUAUAUUUUAAGAUUUAAAACAACAUAUCAUAGGUCUAACAAAAAUUAUUAGUUUUAUAAACACAGUCCAGUUGAUAAUAGCAAGGAUAAUAUUAUGUAGAUGUCAGAGUUCAAACUUUAGACAAUUUCACAUUGUAUUGUCUUGAAAUGGUUGACUACUCGGAUUAUGACUUUGUUGGAUGUGUAGACUCGAGCAAUUCCACAAAAUGAUGAAAACGUUGGAUAUAUAAGUUAGGAGACUCAUAUACUUAAUGCCUACAGAUUUUGGAUGGAAAUAAAAAAAAAAUUAUUUUUUUGUGUUUAAUAGAAAGAUUGAUAACCCUCUUGUUCAAAACCUUUAAGUUUUUCCACAAUGUUACGUUACAUUAAUAUUAUAUUAAUUAUUAAAAAAAUUAAAUGCAGGUAAAAGAUAUUGAUGUUGAGAGUUGCAGUGAGUAUUUUUGUUUCAUAAGCUCUAAUCAACCUUUUUUGAAUAAAUGUUAUAAAUAAAUAAUACAUGUAUAGAGUCUGUAUACAUAUGCACGAAGAAAUCUUCAAAAAUUAGUGGGGGCACAAGCCCAGAAAUUGCCAAACGUGGCUCCGCCACUGAGGAUCAGGCUAAUGAUGUGGGUGACUCACAGUUGAGGGGGAGAUUGUUGGGAAAUCAAGUGUGAGUGAUUAUGUCCCCCAUAUACCUGAUGCCUUAAGGUUUUUGGUGGAAAUGUGGUUUCUAAAUCUCUUAUUGGUCCUGAACGUUUAACUCAUUGCCGCUCCCAAUGCUCCUCAUACUCCCCAACAACUGAUAUUAGAGCCCUAGUUAGGCUCAGUGGUGGAGCGGGAGUAGGAUCCUAGUGAGGAUCAUGCUAGUACUAGUGAUAUGGGUGACUCACACUUGAGGGGAAGAUUGUUGGAAAAUUAAGUGUGAGUGAUUAUGUCCCACAUCGAUUAUAAAUGGAGGAAACAUUGAAUAUAUAUGAGAGGAGACCCAUAUACCUGAUGCCUUAAGGUUUUGGGUGGAGAUGUGGUGUCUAAGUCUCUUAUUGGUCCUGGACGUUUAACUCAUUGUCGCUCCCGAUGCUCCUCAGACACCCCAACAACUGGUAUCAGAGCCCUGGUUAGGCUCAGUGGGGGAGCGGGAGUGGGAUCCUAGUGAGGAUCAGGCUAGUGAUGUGGGUGACUCACACUUGAGGGGGAGAUUGUUGGGAAAUCAAGUGUGAGUGAUUAUGUCCCUCGUAUACCUGAUGCCUUAAGGUUUUUGGUGGAAAUGUGGUUUCUAAGUCUCUUAUUGGUCCUGAAGUUUAACUCAUUGCCGCUUCCGAUGCUCAUCAGACUCCCCAACAACUGAUAUCAGAGCCCUAGUUAGGCUCAGUGGGGGAGCGGGAGUGGGAUCCUAGUGAGGAUCAGGCUAGUGAUGUGGGUGACUAACACACUUGAGGGGGAGAUUGUUGGGAAAUAAAGUGUGAGUGAUUAUGUCCCGCAUCGAUUAGAAAUGGAGGAAACGUUUGAUAUAUGGACGUUUAAGGUUUUGGGUGGAGAUAUGGUGUCUAAAUCUCUUAUUGGUUCUGGACGUUUAACACAUUGCCGAUCCCGAUGCUCCUCAAACUCCCCAACAACCACUUCUACUAUGAAGGAAAAAUCUAUGGGGUGCCUUGAAGCCACAAAUUCAAUAACUGGUUGCGAAACUUAACAUUGACUUUUGGUAUUGUUGACAAUAUAACUACGUCACGAAGGAUUUAUCGUGACAAUUUCACGAUUAUCUUCUUCUCUAAGAAUGAUAAGUGCCAAAAGGGUGUAAAACACGUCGAUUUAAAGUAAUUGCCAAUCAAAGAAGAAAUGCAUAAACAAAAAGACUCAUUUGCGCAUAUUAGUACAAUAAAUGAUUGCGGAUUCGUUAACUAACAGAUUUCUACUAGGAGUGGGAGUAGGCCAAGCCGCUCGUCAAGGGCCUAUGAUUCGGCCUACUAAAAGUCCGGCUCGGCCUAGCUCGUUUAAUAAAUGGGUCAAGCUUGAGAUUUUUAAAAAGUCUAUUAAUUUAAUUAGGUCAGGCUUAGGCUUAUAAAAAAAGCCUAUCAGGCCGGCCCGUAUACAAGUAUAUUACAUUUUUUCAUAUUUAUUAUUUAUAUUUAUAUAUAUCAAAAAAAUUACUGAUCCUUCAAAUUCUCAUACCACAAUUAUUAUUAUUUCAGUUUUUAUUUUUAUUUUGUAUGGCUUGCUACUUAUAUAUUUAUAUAUAUUUGUGUGAACUGUUAAAGCUUGCUACUGAUAUGCCUAAGGUCAAGUAUGAUUAUUAGAUUAAGUUUGAAAUCCUUGUUGUUAUCAGACAUGAUUAUUCUUGAGUUUUUAUCCAUCUAUAAAUUUUACAAUUGUGUUUCAUUAGUUUAAUUUGUAUCUAAUUAAUGUUUAUCUCUAUAUUAAGUAUACGUUGCAUAAAUUGAAAGGAAAAAAACUGAUGAACCGAUUCUGUUUGAAAUUUGUAACAUAAACUAGGCUUUUAGACAGACUAAUAGGUCAGACCAGACUUUUAAAAAGGCCAGGCCAGACUUAAAAUAAAACAUUUGACAGGUAAAAGGUCAAGACUUAUUAUGCCUUGGUUUUUUCUACUAGGCCUAGUCUAUUUAAGCAAACCCGGCUCGAUCCGACUCACCCCUAAUUUCCACCUAAGAGAUUUUUUUUUGCUUUCGCACCGGUUUCCGACCCACCAAAGGUGGGCGACUAACCCGGCUCGUGCGUAGAGACAUGUGCACUGGCCAAACGUUAUUCCCCUGAGAAUCAAAUUCAAUAUUCUCCGGAUACGUCUUUAGAAGGAGUUCCUUGUCCCUGGAGCUCCUAAGUGAUUUAUUGACUACAUUUAAAGGACGAGCUUUAUGGAUGAGUCAUUUUCUUUAUAAAAAAUAAUGGAUGAAUUAUUGUUAACAAUACAAUGUGAUCUAUGCAUGUAUAUGCUAUGUUUUUGCUUAUUGUCUUGUUAUCCAUGUUAUAUGAUAUGCAUUAUUAUUCUUUUGGUGUGAUAACAGGAAGUGUCUUCAUCAGAAAUGCAUGAAAUAUACAAAUUAUAGCAUCCCAUAAAGUUGUUUGAAUUGAGUUGAUUUGUGAUAUAUGGAAGCAUUUAAGUUGAUGGAUAACUUCUGACCGCGAUGAACCCAUCAUUUCAAUCAAAUUAAAGACGAUGACUUGAUAAUUUUGACUUAUGGUGCAACAGCAACAGUGUAUAAUUAUGGAUUAAUGUUGAUCUUUCAAGUUGUUACAUGUACUAAUUGGGAGAUUUUAGAUUAUUUUAAUAAUCUAUAAGUCUUUUUUUAAACAAAAGAUACCAAAUGUGAUGUUUGUUUGGUCUAAUGAAAAUUAAAGUCGAUGAGAGGUUUUAUUUUCAAAUUUAAAAUAAAUAUUACCUCCGUCCCUAAUUAUAAGAUCCUUUUGAUAAUUUUUUUUGUCCAUUUUUAUAAGACUUUUUUGCUAUUUCCAACUACAUUAAUUAUUUCUUUACAUACAUGCCCCUAUUAUUAUACACCUUUUUCUUCAAUCAACAAUAAAUAACAUGUUGAAAACAUAAACCAACUCUCUCUCUUAAAGGAUAAAAUUGUAAAAAUAAUAGUAAUUGCAAACAUAUUUAAUACUAAUAUCCACUAUCUUAAUUCCCGUUAUUUUUUCAAAAGGAUCCUAUAAUUAGGGACGGAGGUAGUAGUAUUCCUGAUCUCCCUUUUGAAGGGAUAGUUACAAACAAAUUUAAAAUGCUUAUCUAUACUACAUGUAAAGAGAAUACAUGAUUUUGGUGUCAUUCAAAAAUAUAAGAAUUUAUAUUAUAUUUGUUAUAUUAUUGAUGUCGUUGAAAAAUAUAAAUAUAGUUUGUUAUAAUACGAAAGUGCAAAAUGCACAUACCUAUAAUUUUAAUCAAAAUCAAAAUUUUCAUAAAAUUUACAAAUUAUAAUUUAUACACAUUAAAUAAAAAAUUGACAAACAAACACAAAAUAUGUUUGAAGUAUAAAGAGGCGUACAUUUUAACUUCUCAUAAAAACUAAUAUUCUUCCUUAAAAACAAAAAAAAAAUCUUAUCAUCAAGAGUAUAAAGAAAAGAAAAAUCAGAGAAACGAAAACAAUUUCAGAAAAAUACCAAGAUUGUACAGAGUGAAUUCAUGGUACAGAGUGAAUGUCACAAUAUCAAGAUCGUUAAACUAGUUUUGCCAACACUCAUAAAAAAAAUUCCCUAAGUUUUAUCCUCACUUAUUCUAUGUUUUAAGAAUGGUCAUUGCUGUUUAUAAACCAACACAGGUCCAAGCCAGUAUCUAUAACACAAACUUUUUAAAUGAAAUAAUGUUCAUGUGACAUUGACUAAUUUUCAUUAAAUAUUAAAAUACAUUAAAAUCGUGACUUGACUUCAUGUUAUUUUUAAAUAAUCACGUUGUAGUACAAAUUUUCUUGUUUCCACUUUCCAAGCAGGAAAAAACAACAUAACCAUUUUUUUUUUUGACAAAAGAUAUAAACCAUUUCUAGAAUUGUAAAAUAAGUAAAGCACCAAAUAUAUAUAUAAGAAUUUUCUUUUUUAUAAAAUCUAAAUUUAGAAGAGAAGUAAUUUGCAGGAAAAAAAUUAAUCUACGCAUUAACUUUAUUGAGAUUAUUUUAUGUAGUAAUCCAAAUUGAUCUGAAAAUUAACAAGGACAAGAUAAUAUAUAUCCAACAAGUGGUAGUAUUUAUUUUGUGUCAAGUGUGGUGACCUUCCAUUAAUCAUAUAUCAGAGAGGGAUAGUACUGAAAGGGAUAGUUUGAGAAAAAGGUUGGGCAAUUUUAGCCUUUAGGGUGGGUAUAGUUUCCUCAAUCAGUAAGUACCUUUGGGAUUACUCAAUCGAGACAAAAUAUCUUGUCCUUUUUAGAUUAAAAUUGCAAAUGAAAGAUAAACUCACAAUAGCGCCAGUUUUGCUAGCAUGAGUAUUGAUUAAAUCUAAAGAAUGCAUUAGUUUAAUCAAUUAUAUCCCUUAAUUUAUUGAUUACAGUAGAAAUGACGUUAAAAAUUGACGGAUGUUGAGUCUAACAGAAAGAUGAAGAAGUUAAAACUUGCAAUUUUACAAACCAAAUUUCAAAUUUAAACCGUAGAAAAUUCAUUAAUUUAACAUUAAUGUCAACGUUGCGAGAACAUAUAGAAAAACCAUAAAAGAAAAAAAAAAAGUCUUGGCAACUUCUUUUUUUGGGCCCUUUUAACGCACCCAGACAAUGAUUGCCAUCAUGCAUGCACUAACAUUUUCAUACAAAGAACAAUAAUAAAUUGGACCAGGUUUGUUUGUUGUGGUCUUUCAAUUCCAAAUAUGUACGGGUGCAUGCACAAAGAUUUAUAUCUCCCACUUUUUUAGCGGGACAGUAUCAGAUUAAUUAAGUAAUGUAAUAAUUAGUUAGGAUUCACCCACCCUAUAAGCUUGCUAAGUAAUCACAACAACAAAAUUAACAGACUUAGAGGUGUAUUCAAUUGAGAUUUCAAAAGAUUUUAAAAGACUUUUUUGUUUUAAAAAAAUCUUUAGGUAUUCAAUCAAGACUUUUAAGGAAUCUAAAACAUUUUUGUGGUAUUCAAUUAGGAUUUUCAAGAUUUUUUAAUGAGUCCAAUAAAAUUCAGUGGUAUUCAAUUGAGAUUUUGCUCAACUUAAAAAUUGUCUAUUGGUAUUCAAAAUUGUAAGGAUUUUAAUGGAUUGUUGUGAGUAAUAGAUUUUGCGAGACUUUUUAGUGUAAAAUGUACCUACUAACAAUCUCACACCUAAACUUGAGACUUUUUUGUCUCCCACACAUAGCCUUGAUGAGAUUUCUUGAGACUUUUUACUCCUUCUCCCACUUCAGUUUUUUGUUUCUCUCAGUAUUAUUAUUUCAUGUUUGUUUUCUUUUUCAAGGUUUUAAUUUUUUUUUAUUCUCGUCAUUUUUAUUUUCUUCACGAAUUGGUUGUUGUUGAUCACAUUAUUUACUUCAUGUUUUGUAGGUAACUGAGAUAUGUUUUUUUUCAAGAACAUAUCUCAGUUAGGAAUAUGUUCUUGUUGGGGGUGGAUGUGGGCGGGGAGGCAUUGAGGUGGCGUGGGCGGCUGUGGGCUUGGGAGGAGGAGUUGGUAGAGGAGUGUAGGGCUUUGUUACUAACAGUUUCUUUGCAGGAAUCGGUGAUAGACAGAUGGCUUUGGUUACCUAAUCAUGAUGAUGGGUAUUCUGUUCGUGGAGUCUACGACAUGCUGACAUCACAAGAGCAGCCCAAGUUACACCAUAAUCUGGACUUAAUUUGACAUAAACAGGUUCCUCUCAAAGUAUCUAUCCUUGCUUGGCGACUUUUGAGAGAUCGGUUACCUACAAAACAUAAUUUGGCAAACCGUGGCAUUUUAUCUGUGGAGGAGCGGUUAUGUGUUUCUGGAUGUGGGAAUGUCGAAGAUGUUUCUCGUUUGUUUUUGUCUUGUGCAACUUUUAGUGCAUUAUGGCCGAUGGUGCGGGAUUGGUUAGGAGUGGUAGGGGUCGACUCUCAAUCAACUUCAGAUCAUUUGGUGCAAUUUAUUAAUUAUGCAGGUUGUUCAAGAGGGUGACGGUCUUUCUUUCACUUGAUUUGGUUGCUUUGUGUUUCAGUGUUGUGGAAUGAAAGGAAUGAUAGGCUUUUUAGAAAUAGACUAAGUACUUUGCCACAAAUGCUAGACAAAGUGAAAUCAACUUCUUUGUGGUGGUUAAAGGCUAGCAAUGUUGUAUUUAGUUUUGGCACUCAUCAGUGGUGGUCGAGCCCGCUUUUAUGUCUGGGUAUUGACUGAUUUGUUUGUAAUUCUGUUUGGACUCUGACAUUUUUGUGAUUGUUUGGCACAUCUUGUGCGAUAACAGUUACGGUGUCCGUUUGAAUAUAUCUCAUUUUUGCAUGUUCAAAAAAAAAGUUUUUUUUUUUUCAAGGAGUAAGUUUGAUUUUAUUAAGUAAUUAUUAUUAUUAGUAGUCAAUCCCAUAAAAAUUGUAUCAAUUUUAUUUUUUAUCGUGCAAACCUUUGAUUUUUUAUUUUUUUUGGUCUAGCAAACCUUUGAUUUUUUAUUUAGUCAACUCUUGUAAAUUCUCAUAAAAUACUUUCAAAUCUUUAAAAGUCUAUGAGCUAAAAUCCCUCAAAAUCUUAAAAGUCUUUUAAAAUCCUUUGAAAGUUAAUACAUUCAUCCACAAUCUUUCAAAAUCUUCAAGACUUUUUUUAUCAAAAUAGUCUUUUAAAAUCUCAAUCCAAUACACCCCCCUAAGAGUAUGUUUGUGAACUAGAUUUUAUAGAUUCAGACAUAUUUUUAAUACUUCAAUUACACUUAACUGUAUUGAUAUAAAAAAAAUAAGAUUUUAUACUAAUUGUAAUUUAAAAGAUAAAAGUAAGUUCACUCACUCUUCUCGUUACCUUCCAACACUUUUCAUCUCAACAUACUUUUAGAGGAUGUUUGUUUCAAGUUGAAAAAUGACAUUCAUAAGAAUACAUGGCUAGGAAAUGAUUAUACCUAUGCUAGUUAUAAAGUUGAGAAAAAAAUAUUUCUGGUUCCUGAGAAUGAAAUAACUUCCAUUAUUCUCAUGCGAGAAGGUGGAAAUGUGCAUCCCAUAAAAUCCUACAUAGAUUUUUUUUUUUUUUUUUUUUUUUUUUUUUUUAUAAAAAAAAAUUGUAACUUCCAAUUUUUCCUGGUAAUAUGUCAACUUAUUUGCUAAACACUUUUAAAAAAAUACACGGGAAUCAAAUUUUCAUUUUUUUAUGCCCGAGUAAGUCAUUUCUGGGUAUAAUUUGUGUGUCACCGAAACAAACGCUCCUUUAGGUUUUGAUUACGAGUUUGGACGAAAAUGAUAGUGUUUUGAAAGAAAAGAAAAAGAAAGUGGAAGAAAUAGAUGACUUUGAAAUGAGAGGGUUUGUUGGAUUUUUUUCAUACUACAAAAUUCUUUUAGUUUGAGGGAACUCAAAAGAUAAAAGUUGUAUUCGAUGAGGGUUUUAUGAACUAUAUGUAAAUUUUUCAAAUUCAAUAUAUAUUGUUAUAAUAUUUCUAUAAUUAAAAAUAUACUUUUUUGGCCGUAAAAUUAAAUCAAAGUAUAUUAAUUAUAAACAUUAAUCUAUAAUUCUCUAAAAAAUACUCUUUGAAAAAAAAAAAAAGAUUUUACAAUUUUUUCUUAUAUCUCUCAUCCCAAACCCUAUCAUUCUCUCCCUUCUCAAACUCCCUAACAAAUUAAGCCUUAGGCACACAUCUUCACUAUUUCACUUAUAUAUAUGAGUUAGGAUCCGUUGACACCAGGUGUUAACGAAUUCGUUGACACCAAAUCGCAACCGUUUAUUUUAUUUAAUCAAUGGCUUGUAGUUUACUAUUCUGUGUGUAUUAUUUCCCUCAAUCGCACAACAUUAUUAUUUUCCUAUUGAUCUGUGCUAUGCUAACGUAACAAAACCUGAAGUUAUCUCUUCUCCUUUACGGAUCUCAAUUAGACCCCAUCAUAGAUAACUCUUGAGAUUUGUAUAUGCACCAAAGAUUGGCAGCAAUGGCAGAAAUCCAUGUAUUUUGCAAGGAUGUUCAAUUAUUCAUUAAUGGUUAAACACCAUACCAAUUGAUACCUAAAACCCCUUAAUUAAUAUCUUCAUCUCCAAUUGCAAUUCAUACAUCGAAUUAACCAAGAGGGAAGAUAGAUGCAAACAAGAAAUUGUAUUAACGGAAGUGGUGGCAUAUAACAACGAUGUGAUGAUGUUCCCAAUUUCAGAUUUUCAAUGAUCGAAAACAAUAAUACUAUGUGAUUGAGGGAAUGAGUACACACAGAAUAGAAAAAUAUGAGCUAUGGAUUAAAUAAAAUAAACGGUUGAGAUUUGGUGUCAACGAAUCCGUUGACACCUGGUGUCAACGGAUCCUAACUCUAUAUAUAUAUAUAUAUAUAUAUAUAUAUAUAUAUAUAUGCUAUCCUGCAAACAAGUACCACAAUCGACAUUCAUCAUGAUGAAUAACACAUUUUGGGUGAAAUUUAAUCAUCUUGUAGUAUUAUUUUAUUUUAAUUAUUAUAUUUUUAAAUUCAAAUUUGAAUUAUGAUUUAUUUAAAUUUUAUUUGUCAAGAUUGAUAUAAGAAUUUAAUUAGAUAAAUGAGUUAAAAAAGUGAAUUAUAGAAGAAAAAUAUUGUUUGUGUUACAGGUCAGCAGAGUCGGUGGAAUAUAUGUGCAGCUAUUAUGUGUUGGAUGCAAGCAGGCAACAAUUGGCCAUGUGAACAACAUAAAGAUAAUGAAAUUAAACCUUGUUUGUGCUUUGUAAACAAAUCAAAUUUAUAUUUUGCACGUGUUAAAUGUUUGAAGCCACCAAUUAUAGACACACAUGCUACAAAACAUGUCAUAUUGAAUAAAGUCUAAUAUGGGGAGCAACUCUUGCAUAACUCAAUCCCCAUGUAAAUUUUAUUUGAGCUCACACAUGAUAAUAAAAUUUAAAAGAGAAAAUAUAUCAAAUAAUAUGAUUAAAUUAUUUUUCUUCUAAGCAAUAAUGAAUUGGUCCAAAUGAUAAGAGAGUUAACGUCUUAAAUAUGUGAUCAAGGUUCAAUUCAUAACCAAUGUCUAUGAUUUUUUUUUAUUUUUUUACCAAUAUCAAGGCUAUCCAUUUUCUUUUUUAAAUUUUAUUAUAUAUAUGUGUCCAAAUAAAGUUUAUUUAUGAUUGAGCAUGCAAGAGCUGCUCCUGAUAUCGAUUAGUCAAACUUUCAUCUUUAUGAACACUAUUUUGACACUACCCAUACUAAAUACUAAAACUAAAGUACUAUUUGUACAAACUUAUUAAAUUUUUAUUAUAACUUUAAUAAUUAAAUUAAUAAAAACGUCAUUAUAUUUAACAAUAUGCAGACAACUUGGAUUUGUAGUUAAUUUGAUAUGAUGUGAGCACAUUUGAUUCUGUUAAAUUCAUCCAACAACUUAGAGAUCAUUAUAUAGUGAGUGACUUCUAUUGGACAUUGACCCAAAAAUUGUAUCAAACUAGACAUAUUUGUAGUCCACAAACCAUAUCACAUGUAUAGUCGUCAGCAUGCUUAUAUUUAAAAAAUUAGAGAAUAAUGUGAGACCAAGAGCUGGAAUAAAGUAUACAAUAAUUUAGAGAGAGAGAGAUCCCUCAACAAAAAAAUAAUAAUUUAGAGAGAGAAAAUUAAAUACAAUUUAGAGCGGAGAUAAAAUAAUUUAUUAUUCAAUUGCAUGUCUUUUGAUACUUUUAUCCAUUAACAGGCAUCCCAGUAAAACAAAUUGUUUUGAACAUUGAGUUUAAAGACAAAAGGUGCAGCAUACAUAUUAUCUAGAACUUAUUCAUAAAAAAUUACUUAGUAACUUUUUUUGGUGGUGCUUUUUUUUUUGGUGGUGACUUAGUAACUUACAUUAAAAGAUUAAUUUACAUGCACUAAUAAUGUAAAAGAAAAAUGCGUAGCAAAUACAGAUUUGAAUUCCAGCUUACAGGGUAUCCAUCUUUAGUGGCUUAGACGUCUAAAAUAUAUAUUUUUUGUCAAGUAAAUUUAUCAACUCUACUGGAGAGAAACAUAUGGGAAUAAAAAAGUCUUCGAAAAUUUCUUGAAAAAAACGUCACCGAAAAAAAAAUGCAAGAAUAUAGACGCGAUCUAAUAAGAUAUUAUUGUUUAGAUCAGUUGUAAUAUUAUUAUUAAGGUUUAAAUGUGUCAUUGGUCCCUGCACUUUCAUUAGAUUAUGGCAUUGGUCCCUGCACUUUUUUUUGUUUGGCAUUGGUCCCUGCACUUUGUAAAAAUAUUGGUAUUGGUCCCUCUGCUAACUUUCUGUUAAAAAAAAACACAAAACUAAUGGAGUGCCACGUGGCCCAAUCAUUUCACGCCAUGUGGCACCAAUAUCAAUAUUUUUACAAAGUGCAGGGACUAAUACCAAUAUUUUUACAAAGUGCAGGGACCAAUACCAAUAGUUUUGUGUUUUUUUUUAACAGAAGGUUAACAGAGGGAUCAAUACCAAUAUUUUUACAAAGUGUAGGGACCAAUUCCAAACAAAAAAAAGUGUAGGGACCAAUGCCAAAAUCUGAUGAAAGUGCAGGGACUAAAGACAUAUUUAAACCUAUUAUUAAUAAAUAAUUUUUUUAGGGAAUAUUAGUUUUAAUAUAUAUCUACACAAAUACCUAAAGAAUAAUUUAAUUUGUAAGUAAAACUUGUUUAUACAUGCAUCCGAUCAAAUAACUCCAUAAUGCUACUUUUUUGAAUUAGCUCAUAAAAUAUUUUUAUAAAAAUCUAUUUGUCACAAUUUGAUAGGAUGUAUGUGUAAAAAAAAAUGACACUUUAUAAAUUAACCUCAUCCAAAUUGUAAGAUAUGAUAAUUAGAUGCAUCAGUAAAAUUAUUUAAGAGAAAGUCUCAGUGUAUGAAGUUGAGGCUUUUCUUGUUGCACUGACAAAAUGGUUGUCACAAUUGUUGUCAUUUAAUGAAGGAGAAAUCAUAAGUUUAUUAUUAAGAUUUCUUUAAUAUCCUCGUAAGAAGUACUUUUAUGGUUACAAAAACAUAAAUAAAAAUCAUUUAAGGGCGUACAACAUAAAAAUACAUUUAAGUUAAUUAUCUCAGAAAUACACAUGAAUCAUAUUUGUGGUUGUGACCACACAAGUGUUUUUAUGUACUCAACUAGCACAAGAGUUAAGAUAAUAUUUUGAAUAAGGGAGACAUGAAGAACUUAUCAUAGUUUACUUGUUCGUUAAACAUGUUUUGUGGUCAACAAACAAGUUUUGUGGCAUGAUUAACUUAAACACUUUGAUAGUUUAUCUUAUUUAUGUUGAAGAGGAUCCAAGUCUGUCUUAUCUUGACCAUAAAAGAAAUUGGAAUAGUACACCUUAAACUGGAAUUUGAUUGUUCAAUUGUGGUGUCUGGUUGACUAUAAUAUUGAGGAAUGGAGCGUUGACUAAAAAGAAGCCAAUCAAAGUUCCACAAAAGGUAAACUGUGGAAGAAAGAAUUAGGGUUGGGAAUAGGCCAGGCCAGACUUUGAUAGGCCUGAGCCUGGCCUACGAAAAAAUUUGCAGGCCUGAGCCUGGCCUAUGGCCUUUCAUAGGCCUAUUAUUUUGGCCUGGCCUGGCCUAUUUAAAAGCCUGGCCUGGCCUGAAAGCCUAUUUACAGGCCUACUUACUAUUAAAGUCACUAAACAUUCCAUUUUAUCUACUUUUAAAUAGGCUUAAUAGGCUUCAAAGCCUAUUCCAGUGUAAGAUUUGUCUAUCACUAUAAGGCCUUAAAAACAUAUUUCACUAUAAAGCUUUAAAGCCUAUUUAAAAAGUCCACUAUGAAGCCUAACAUGCAUAAACAGGCCGGCCUAUUAGGAUUCAUAGGCUUUUUUUAUAGCCUAAGCCUGGCCUAUUUACUUAAAUAGGCUUUUUAAAAAGCCUAAGCCUAGCCUUUUUAAUAAACAGGCCAGGCCAGACCAGGCUUAAACAGGCCAGGCCAUAGACCCCUGUAGGCCGGCCUGGCCUAUUCCCAACCCUAGAAAGAAUGCUUGGUUGACUCUGACCAUGCUCUGAGGUGGGACCCACGCAAUUGUGAGAGUCUUUCCAUGAGUAAAUUCAUGAUUUCAGCUCCCAUUUGUGCUUUGACGACAUAGAUUUCUUACGAUUAUAUAUAAAAGAUCAUAAAAAUGUUUUUCAAAAAGAAAAAAAAAAAAUCCUUUUUUAUUAAUAAUAUUAAACAUUUUGAAAAGUAAAAACUGUUGGUUAUGAAGUGUUAUAUUUGCACCAAAAAAUUUGUCACGUUAAUUUAUUUCCAAGUUUAUUCUCUAUUAAUACAAAUUACACUACUCCAAAGUUAUUUAUUAUUUUCCACUUAUAUAUUUUACAAUUAUUAUAAGUUAGUAAAGUCAGGACUAAGGUAGUAGUUGUUAGUUUAAACUUUAAGUAGGGGGAGAGAAAAAAUGUUAGCAGCAGAGGUCAAAACCACGAACUUCCUUCUUCUUAAACUCUUUUUAUCUAUUCCGCAAGCCGGAUACACAUUAGGGGAUGCUUCUUACCUUGAUAUUUUCCAUACUCUAACUGAAAUUCUUUUGAAAUCUCUCAACCUGAAACAAACUAUAACAAGUUGCCCGACACUCCGUGCUCGGGCACUUAAAAAAAAUGUUUCUUGCUUCCCAGGGGCAGCCAAUGAAGGAAAAUUGCUAUAAUUAUUUUUCCUAAAAAAAAUUACAGUUUCAAUCUAAUAUUAAUGAACAACAAUUUGUUCGAAAAAAAAUACUAGUGUUACAACUGCAAAUGCCAAAUAAGCAUUCACUCCUACCACCCUAUAAUUGUUUCAAAAUUGGUUGAGUCUGUCAUCAAGAUCUCUUCACAAUAGCAGUAGCAAAGAAAGGAUGAUGACAUAGUGUAAAAGAAAUCUUCACCGAUGGAUCAGGUGUUCCUAGCCGGGAAAUGACUGUCAUGGCAAUGUUGUUGCGUUCUGCUACUUGUUCUAUUCUCCUCAGCUCAGCCAUCAUGUCAGGGUCAUUGGCGAAACUACCUUUCAGCUCUUUUGCAAUCUUCUGAGCUUCCUUGAAGUAAUCGCACAUAACUAGGGUCUGAAGGGGAAAUAAACAUUUAAAUGUUUGUCUCUUGAAAAAAUAACACACGACCGUCUAUUUUUAAAGAAGUCAAAACACACAAUAAUUUUCUAAAGAAUACUCACAGAGAAGUUAGCCUGGGCAGUUGAUUCCUUGUAUGUCUGAUAUGAGAUGCCAUCAGGAAGGCAAGCUUUCAAUAAAAGCUCAAAUUGCUGGAUAAAUAUCUGGAAGAAGUAUCAAUAUGUGAGUUCAUUUGCAAAUGAAAAGUUCGAUUUAAAAUAAAAGUACUUCUUUCAUAGUGCCUACUGUUGCUGAGGUUGAGGGUUAACCAUACUCAAUAUCUCUGUAUCUUUCAAAUGCUUGAAUCAUUAAAAAGUAUCCCGAUAACAUAGAAAAAUUACUAAAUGCAAUUUAGAUAAUUUACUGAAGGUUUCUCCUUAACUUCUGGCAAAUCUGUAUUAACAGAUCUUCAAUGUAUCUUAAAUUUUUCCCCUAUAAAUGUGACAAGAUUACGAGUGUAUUCAGGCAAAAGAUUAAAAAAUAAUUAUUCGCUACAUAAAUUGUUUCUACUCAUCCACACGAAGGUAAACAUGAAGUGCGUACCAUAAUUUAGUUUCAGAUAUUUGGGAUAUAUAUGAUGCUUUGCAGAUUUGAAAAUAAGAAAAAAAAAUUGAAAACUAAAUCAAAUGCUGAUAAUGGAAAGAAUCACCAUUUAACUUACUUUCGCGGAGUUUGAUCAAUACAUGAUAAAUUGAAAUCAGUAAAAAACACGCCCAAAACAAUCAAAUCUGAUAGAUUACUGGGUUUCAGUCAAGACGUCACUCUAAUUGAAACAGUGGCCAAUAGUGUGACCUUGCCCAUUCUUCUCUUAAUACUAAUAGUUCCUUUGGAUAUUAUUUCAGCACUUUGAGAAAAAAAUACUUUCCAAACACCAAAUCUUUCACUUGACCUACCAACACUAAAAAUCCAGCGCUGAAUAAAAUUUACCAAACACCCUUUGCAAUGCUUUAAUGAAGUUUGUAAUACAUUUGAAAACUGUAAGUGGAAAACCAGAAAACCUUACCUCGUGUUCGGUACUGAAAGGGCUUUGUGGUGGAACAAUUCUGUGCUCAUUCCUCAAAGCAGCUAGCAUCUAGAAAAAUAAUUGGAUUGCUGCAGAAUGUAAGUCCACUAAAUUGAAUCAAAUAACAAAGCUGGAAAAUUAUUUAGGGUAUGUUUGGAUGGAGGAUUUUGGAGCGGAAGGGAGGGGAGGGCUUACUUUUUCUCUUUUAAAUUACGGACACUAUGAAAUGCUUUCUAAAAUCAAUCAAGUGCGGUUGAAGUAUUAUAUGAUCAUUUAUCAUGUUGUUCUUCAAAAAUUUUAAAAAUAUAGAUUUAGCCCUCCAAAACCCUCUCCGAAACCGUCCCAAACAGACCCUUAGGUUAAAGUUAAUUAUGAUACACACAGUCAAUGUGGUCAUGUUAACUUUUAGUAAAAGAAAAAGACUUGUCAAUUUGGCAAAAUAGGGUAGUUUCCACCUAGUAUUAGAGUAUAGCAUAAGCUAAUCACACUUGGCACUUUUAUCUUGCAUUCUAAGUUCUAAGGCUUGCAGUGCAAGCUAUUGACGGCUAGAUACAGUUGGCGACAGCUGGCAGUUUGCUAUACCAGCUGUCAUGCUAGCACAGGGUUAUAAAUACUCGUAUCUCUCUCUAUUCAAUAAUAAUGUGAAUAUACAAAAUUCGGUUACAGUUUUCUUCUCUCUUCUCUCUCCUUCAAGCUUUCUCCAUUGUUCAACAAUGGCUGACCUCUAACAUUCUAACACCUAGGGACUAUUAAACUCAAGCUCUAGAACUUACAGAUGCGGCAGGAAAUUUCAAGCCACUGAUGUCUUAAAUCACAAUUCCUAGAAGAAAUUGUUAAGUCAAAUCAUUGAGGAAACAUAUGCAGUAUUACCAUGCCUAAACCUUCAGCUAGAUAUAUUUGGCUCUGAAGAAACCUCACAGCUGGAGAGAUCUGCAAGUUCGUUCCUGCGUCUUUUAAAGAAUCUCUUUUUUUCUUUGUCUUCUUUUUACCUUAUCAACAAGUAGCAUAGAUACAAAUUGAGGUCAGCGACACCAUAAGCUAAUUUUUGUCUUCAAAGCCAUAGAACUAAAAGCACAAUUAAAAUACUGCCUAAUAAUACCACUCUAUUAGUCAUUGAUUUGUAGGACAAUUUCCUCAUAUACCAUCACUUUUCUUAAUUAAAAAAAACCACGAUACACUACUGUAACACAUACCAGUGCCACUGCUCAUUGCCAUCCGGAGAUGCUUCUUCUCUGCAAGAUUGAUCAACACGAUAUAAAUAUACCAGUACACCAUGCAAUAAUCAUGGUCAGCAUAGAGUUCCAAUUCAAAUCCCACAGUGAGAAAUCGAAAAGCUAUCCAAUAAGUUUGCUCUUCCACCCACACAAGAAUAUGCUGGAAUAUUUUGAAGCCUAGAGUCUGCCAGAAUAGAGUAAUAUUACAUAUUAAUAAAUUAGUUCCAGUGAUAACAGCUAACAGAAAACCUUAUGCCACAAAAAACAUGUUUGCUUCAACACUCAAAAAAACUCACUUCAUGUGAAUACUGUGACUUAUGGUAAUGUAGGAAAAUAUUUAACAAUGAACGCUACUCCUCCGUCCCACAAAAAUUGUCAUAGGUCAUUUCACACAAAUUAAGGAGAAGUUAUAAAUGAAAAAGGAGAAUAACGAUUUUACAAAAUUAAUCUCAUUAACUACUGGUUCAUUCUCAUUAUAAUACGAUUUACUAAUUCUGAUCGUAAUAAUACUCCAUUUGCUUCUUUUAAUUGUCGAUUUUUUAAGUUAAAAAAUGUUCCAAUGUAUCUGACAUUUCAAAGUUUAAGGUUACAUUAACUACUUUUUUGUCAAUUACAUUCUAACCUUAUCAAUUAUUUUGCACUUACAUUUAUGAAAAGCAUUGAGAGAGAGUAAGUGGGUGAAUGAGCCAAUGAAAUGCAACUGUAUAUUUGAAAUUUUCUUAUUAAUCAAAGCUAUUACUUGAUUUGUACAAAACAACCUAAAAAAACAUGAUUAUUAAAUUGGAGAAAGUAGUGAAUAUUAAGCUUUGAUUAUUUGAUUCUAACAAACAUCGAUAUAACUUUAUUAUUCUGGGUAAAACAUUCCACCCUCUAUGUCUGAAGGACAAAAACCUAUAACUUCAACGCAUGUAUAUAAAUCAGAUUGAUUGUGUGUUAAGUGUUGACACACAAUUCCUUUAAACUCUUUACAUUUUAUCACUUCUCAAACUCAUGGGAUAACUAACUUAUAUAUAAGCACCAGUUUCAGCCAAACAAUAGGUAAAAAUCACAAGUAAAAAACCUCGUUGUUUGAAGUGUUUCCAAACUCCUUUUUGAAAUCUAGCUCCAGCUGCAGAGUAGAAUGAAGGAUUAGGUCAAUAUUGAUUCGUGUCAAAUGAAUUUCUGGGCAAUCAUAAAAUAUAUCAAUUCACAUCAACUAUAUAAAGCAAUCCUACACCAAAUGUUCGGACACAUUGACAAUUUGAUCUCUUUCACUAUACCAAGUUUUGAUUCUCUACCUUAACGUUUUCUACUUGUUUAGGGGAGGGGGUGUUUCCUACACUACAGUGAAAAACUAACACUACUGACUUGAGAAUCAAAAUGAGACAAAAUGCUUCAAUUGAAAUCCCCAAAUAGGAGACAAGUUUCUUCAGAAUAAGAUAAUGCCAAUAAAAAAAAUAAUAUCCCAAGUAUUAUACUUCAAACAUUUGUGCCAAAAAUAGAUAAGAAUUAAGAAGCAUCCAUCGAAAUCUUCUUAAAUCUAAUUCAUAUUCUUUACAGAUAAGGUGUUAAUUAGAAUAGAAUGUAAUAAUGUCUACAGUGAAUGACACACCUGUACAUAGGUGACACGCCAGUCUUGUAGCAUUUUCCCCAGCUUACGCCUUUGCCAUGCGGCAUUUGUACAAAUAAUUUUGAGUAAAUUCAUCACCAUCUGCAUCCAUAAUAUUGUACAGAUUAUAAAAAGUGUCUUACUAAAAUCGUGAGUUGCAAAGCCUUUUCUUAUGGAAUAGAAUUCAUAUUCAAAUAAUACUAUCCGUGAGUCAAAAUAUAGGUUGAUUAAUUAAAAAAAAGGGCCCAUUUGUUCCGUUUUCGUAUAAGAAAUCACUUUAAUUGUUUUGAAAAUAACAGUAUUGAGCGUUGUUUAAAUUUCUAAAAAGAAUAAUUUUUUUUUUAUUAUUUUGAUAAUCUACUUUGAGCAGCUUCUGAAAAAAUUGUAAUUAGAACUAGUUUAAAAUUAAAGUGUAUUUCAAUAAUGUAAUCAAACACAAAAUAGCUUUUGCUUUAUACAUGUCUCCAAAAAAUAAAGUACAUUUUUACACAAUCUUAAAAUCACUUUUUCAAAAGCUUAAACAAAAGGCAGUAAUUGAGCCAAUUUGAGUUUACUCAAAAAGAUGUUUUUUUGUUUGUUCGAGGGAUACUCAAAAAGAUGUUGUUCAUCACAAGAGCAUGCAUGUCGAUACAAGUUCAGGAACACAUGCAAAAGAGUGAAAGGCAUAUAUAUAUAGGCUUCAAAUAGGACAUACCAAACUACUUUAAUUUCAUUACCUGUUGAAGUUGCACCAUAAACUCGUUUUUCUGAAUGUCAUGAUUCUCUACGACUUCAGGCAAUCCAGCAGCUCUAGUAAUCAUAGAAAACAUAGGAUACCGACCAAAGAGUUUCCCGUUCUGGACCAGCAGAAGCUGAUAACAGGAUUUAAAUGGGUCAAGCUUGGCGAACAGAGUUCAAAACAACAGAAGUAAAUUUACUAUCAUGCAUGUCAAGCAUGCUUUUAAAGGCAACGAAAUAGCGAAGCAAUGGACGAAAACCAAUGAAAAAGUCAACACUCCAAUCAGAUGCAUGAAGAUGUAUUAUGUUGCUUUUUAUACCUUUAGCAUUCUGUUUUACAAGAAAUCUGGUGCUUAGCCAGGGAUGACGAUUUACAUCAUGAUUCUUGAUAGACAGACUGGGAAUUUCCCUUUUGUACCAUAAUACAAACACUUUAACGUUUUCUUGUGUAACUAUUUCUUGUGCUUAAUAACCAACACAAAUUUUUUUGUAACUAUUACUCGUGCUUAAUAACCAACACAUUAGGUCUAUAAAUACAAUCGUACAUUUGGGAAAGACUGAUCCUAUAACAUGUAAAUGAAGAAAAACUGUCAUAUUAUUUUCAAUACAUUAAAUGAGGUACAAGGAAAAAAAUCUAUAGUUCGUAAAGAAUACAUAUAUUUCUCUUCCUAGGGUUGUCUCAUAAGAGGCAGCCGUUAGUGAAACAAAAAUCUACUUGAAAAAUACUUGAUAAUUAAAUUGCUUGUCUAUAUAGAAGACGCAGAAAAAAAAGUUAAUAAGAUAAGAGAACAAUCGUCAGAUCAAGCAAAAUCAUCGAUCAUUUUGAGAUUCACCUGAAGAUGAGCUCUAGAAACCAAAUCAGGUUGAGAUUUCUGGAAUUUAACCACAAAGAGCAAGGCAGCUUCCAAUGAUGGGUUCAAUGAGCAGGAACAUAUAAUGUCUAGAUCAUGAAGGAGUUUCACAAAGUAUUCGAGAGCCUGGAAGAGAUAAAUAAACGUUGUAACAUGGAACAAAGUUUCAUGUAUUAAAAGUAACCCUCUAAAUAUUUACCUUUUCCAAACAAAAAAUUUUGAUUGCCCGUGGCGGUGUUGGAGCUGAUAAUCUACAAUUUAAACUAGCAUCAAAGCCAAUUGGUUUACAACCAGAUGCAGUUGUAUUUUCUAUAUUUUGUUCAGACAUUUCCGGAGCACUAGCUCUAAGAAAGUCUGAAGAUUUUCGAAUGUGACCAAUCUCUGAAAUGCAUGAAGCUAUGUGUUCCCUUGCCAACUCCAAACCUCCUCCAUGGGGUCGUUUCAUAGACAUCAAAAUAUGGUAAAAAUGCUGAAAGAAAAUCAAAUGUAGUGAUUUCAGUAAAAAAAAAGAGUGCUUAGUUGACAAGAGAAAGCUGAAAGUGAAAAUUGAUGAAAGUUAAAUUGUCAAAAGAUUAAAGCCAAAAUACAGUAACAUACUCAAUAAAAGUACUCUAACGGGAGGGGUUUUAAUGAAGGGUAAUGGAAGGAAGAGCAGGCGAGGGGAAAUAAUAUCAAAUCCUCUGUUUGGGUUAAAGUGCGGGGAAGCGGGGCAAUUUUUUUUACUAUAAUUGCCUAAAUGAAGGCAAAUCAAAAUAAAUCAUUGAAUUUGCUGAUGCAAAAAGAAAGAGGAGGAUCAAGUGGUGUCCUUGGCUGCAUCUAUGUAGAACGAGAAAUGAGAUGGACUUGCUUAAAAUCUGGUAUUGCACCAGUCUAGUCACAUUAAUUUCUUAUACCAGUGACUGUGUUUUCAAAAAAUAUUGUCCAAAUCUUUUACGUAGCAGAAAAACCAUAAAUGAAUGAACUGGAGUGAAGAAGCUUUGAGAAAAGUGGAAAGAAAAUGUGAAGGAACAUGUCAAAGUUUCUAGGAACAAACUAGUGAGGAUAGUUUAGCCCAAGCAAGUCAUAAAUAUUAAGCCCUUUUAUAAAAGGGAUCUUCGCGUCCUUAUUUUCACUCCUCCCCCCUUCUAUUUCCCUUCAACCAAACACUAACAGAAAAGCCGGCUAAGAUUAGGCUAUUUGUAAGAAACAACGGUAGUUUGAAGGUCAUGCAUUUAACCUUCAAAAUUGCCAUGGUGACACAAAAUUGUAAGAUAUAAUUUUUUUUUUUUUUGAAGAAGAUAUAAAAAUAUUUAAAACAUCUUGAUAUUAUCUUUGGAGUAUUUUAAACUAUAUUUUUUUGAACAAGUAUUUUAAACUAUAUUACUUUCUUGUCUUAGCAUAACCUAAACUAUCUCUUCAGUAUUUCUGUUAUUCUUCUUAAAAAAAAUAGUAUUUCUGUUAUUAUCAUCAUCAUCCAUUUUCCUCUUUAAUUAGGAUUUGAUUCUUGUAAUAAAUAAAGGUUAGCUUUUAGUAUGUGCCAAAUCAUAAAUCAUAUCAAAGCAUAAUUUAGAAGCAUCUUGGUUGACCCGACCUGGGUCUAAUUAAUUUAAAUUUUUGUUUCGUUCAUUCUUUUAUUGGACUGCAAAGACAACAAUCGAACACUCUACCUUUCACGACAUUAAUUCAAGCAGAAAAUAGUUCUCCAUUUCUCGAUUUUCUACCCCACCUUUCAUUGAGACAUCACAGGUAAUCGCAUCACCUUUUAAUUGCCCCUUUUCUCCUUAUAUUUUUCUAAAUAGUAUAAAUAGCACUGCAUUUGAUUAGGCUUUUCACUUUAGCUUUCUCUGAGAUUGUGGUCAGAGAACCUUUCCCGUCAAAAUAAAAGAAGCAUUAUAAUAGUAGUGGCGAAAAUAGCAUUCUUUUUAAAUGUAUAACAAUAAUAAUAUAGGAAACGACAUUUUGCUUUUUCCGGUUUCUUUGAUGUUGCAACUGUGAUUUUUUUAUUUGACAUAUGGGUUAUAAAUAGUAUAAAUAGCACUGCAUUUGAUUAGGCUUUUCACUUUAGCUUUCUCUGAGAUUGUGGUCAGAGAACCUUUCCCGUCAAAAUAAAAUAAGCAUUAUAAUAGUAGUGGCGAAAAUAGCAUUCUUUUUAAAUGUAUAACAAUAAUAAUAUAGGAAACGACAUUUUGCUUUUUCCGGUUUCUUUGAUGUUGCAACUGUGAUUUUUUUAUUUGACAUAUGGGUUAUACGUUUUUCCUACUGAUACAACCAAUUAGUAGUAUCACAAAUUGGGGUUGCAACAUUUUAAGCUCCCCAGAGUUAUAUAAUACACAGUUUUUAUCUUUUAUAUUUGACGUAUCUAUGCCUUAGUUUUUCUGAAAAUUUCACAUCCGGUACUCGUACCGGUGCUGUACCUAUACAUAUGCUUCUCAGAACAUAGAAGGUUCCGAGUAUGGGUGCACAAGUAGCUUAGCGGAUUCGGGCAUUAGAUAUAGGGCAUCAUUCAUUUUCUUUACCAAAACAAAAACUAUGAUAAUCAAAGAAAGUGGAAAGGUUUUAUGCUAAUUUUACACUCUUUAUCCUCUUAUCUUUGACAUUUGCAGAUUGAUCGCAAAACGACACAACCUAUGUCUAGUUAUAAACUAUGCAAGAAUGUAAUCAACAUUAUUUGCAGUAUUGAAUUGCUUUAUAAAGAGAGUAAUCAUAGGAAAAAAAAACCUUACGAAAACGUAAUCGGCAUAACAGCGCUCUGCAGUAUCCUUCUUCCAGAUCAGGAUUAUUUUGAAGUGGCUCUAUAUCUGAAACCAGAAAGGUCACAAGUCAAUCAAAGCAUAUGCAUAUGUCGCACACCCUUUGUCAUUGGGGAGAAAGACAAGAUGAUUUUGAACUCGACAACUAUGAAGCAUAAAGACUGUAAUAACUAGCACCAUAAGGUAUGGGUAAUAAAUGGAAUGUCUAUGUUGUUGAACCCUAACUUCUCACUUCUACUUCUAUUUUUCUUAAUUGGACUGCCCCUGUAUUAUAUAUACAGUAAAGAAAAUUUAUAAGAGCGACUUCACAAUGACCAGGCAUACGAUACACAUACUCAAAUAUACUUGAUUGUAUUAAAAGUCGAUGAAGCAAGGAAACCAGAUUAUCAAAGAAUGGCAAAAAGUCUGCCACAACAAGUAUUUGUAAAAUUGUAACCUUUUCAAACAUAAAAAUAUCAACAUUCUUCAAGAGUAAUCAACUUCAAAGAUUAAUUAUUUACUCUAUACCAUUAUUACCAAGUGUCAACUUCAUUCCCUUCUGCACAACUAUAAUUUUACAACAAUAUCAUAAUAUAAGGCCUCACUAGAGCAUGUUGAGGUUUCAAAUUUCAACAAGCAAAUACCUUCCGACACUCUUCUUUUUGAUGAUGUAGUUUUACAAGCACGCAAUUGACGACAUAUUGUUUCUUCAACAGCAUUUAACAAUGCUAAACACCUUUCAUUUCCAUCUUCAUUUAAAGGAAGUCCAUAUGCCAUGAUAAAUAAAUCUUCUUCCUGACACAAAUAAAUAUCAGCAAUUUUAACAAAAAAUAAAUAGUGGCAUCUGUCAGCUCAAAUAUACAGGUUAUGGAAAAUACAUUUUUUUAAGGAAUAUGGAAAAUACAUAUAGAGCAUAUGUUAGGAAAGCAAACAACUAAGGCUGCACAUCCAUAUGCCAUCCACUUAGAGAAAUGCUGCAUGCCAGCGUAAAUAUUCAGUGACACAUAAAUAUUGCAAAACAUAAGAUCCAUAGAAAUAACUAAUGAAACAAAGAAUCCAAACAUUCUAUGUAAUUUAGUGAGUAGAGACAAUACAAUAAAUAGUCGACUUCUCCAAAAAGAAGUAAAACCAGUACUUAUUUGACCAAACAGAAAAAAGUUGAAAACUAUGUGAUGAAACCAGAAAAAAGAUCCUAUCAAACAGAGAUAAAAAGAAAGAACUGUUGGAAUACAUUACUUCAUGUGUACGUGAAUCUGAGACAACUGAAAGAACUGCUUUGCAGGUUGCACGUAUGAUUUGGCAGAAAGAGUGCAACAGGGCAUGCGAUGAUGUCCUUUCAGGCCGCAGGAGAUAGAGGCAAGAGUAGACAGUUUGUGCCAGGGAAUGACCUUUGUGCCAUGUUGCCUGAAAUAUCAAAUGACAACUAGAUAAAGACAAGAAAAACAAAUAAUCAAGACCUGUCUAGUACAGACAGAGAUAUUGAACCCAAACAAAUGUUAUUGCUUGUGCAUCUUCAAAAUUUAUUACACAAAGGGUAUAUUUUGAUGUAUUCAAUGUAUCAUAUCCAGAUUUCAAGUUCAUCAGCCUCACGCAUAAUGAAGAUGUUUCUCUAGAAAACUAAAGUCAUGGUUAUUUGAUACAAAGGCAACAAUAUAUAGAAGGCAGAGACAAGAUGAUGAAAAUACCUCGCAUGCUAGUAUAUGGUCGAAGAUGUCAAUUAUGCAUCGAACAUCAGUAGUUUUAUCAUCACUAACAGGAACUGGAGCAGCACCAUUCUCAAUAGCUUCAUCAAGAGAGUAGUAUGUGGAAGCCAUACCGGAGUCCAUUUUUGGAUCCAUUAUCUACAAAAAUAUCAAAUAAAAAGGGAUAAUUCAAACCGAUCAAUGUUAAUUGUAGAAACAGCCAACAUCAUCUCUACAAACAUCUCUAGCAUAGAUAUUUCUUACGCAUAGCAGUGAGUUAAGCUCAAAAAGACCUAGACCAUGAUUGGAUAAACAAUGGCACAAGAGCUUAUGGUAGAAGAAGAUAAGGUCAAAAAAGUGAAUUGAAAGAGAUUUGUAUGAUUCUAUGAAAUGGUUAUAAAAGGAAAGAUGAUAUAGAAAACCCUAAACCGUAGGAAGAUGAAAGAAUACCUCAAGAGCAGACAUGGCAGCAAAGAGAUUGAAAUUAUCUCCAUGAAUAAGGUCUCCCUCAUGAAGAUCUGCAACAAAGAAAAACUGAUUAAAAAAAAAAAAAGCAGAAGUAAUUGAGUGAUCAAGUAGGAAACGAUGAUAAUGAAAGCAUUGCAAUUAGAGAGAGAGAGAGAGAGGACCUUGGCAAGCGGCGUGGAGGAGGGGAGAAACAUCGGCCCAAACGGAGUUAUCACCGGAGGGAAUACGUGGAGGACGGGAUUGGACGGUGGUUGUUGCGGCUUCGUUGGCGCGAUCCAAGGUCGCCAUAGCUUUGAAGCUCACGUUACUGUCCCCACUAGAAUAGAAUAGAGAGGGUGUGUUUGUGACUUUAAUUUGAGGUUUAGAGUUCCUUCAGUUUGCGCCGCGUUCUGUACUUGUCUUGUGAUGCUUUAUUGCCUUUCGUGUUCUGAAUACUACUAACUAAAGCUAGGUAGCUACAUGUAUGUAACAUGUUGCCUUACUUUUUUUUUUAUUGAAAUAUUUUCUAAUUUACUUUAUCUACAUGCCUCUGCAGUAAUUGAGUUUUCUUAAAUUUAAAGGAUGGAGUUUUUAUUUAUUAAAAAUAAACGAUAUUCAUUGAUAGAAAACAUCAAUAUAAUAUAUUCACUAAAAAUAAAAAUAAAAAUAAAAAGAUGAAUAUGGGAACAAACUCACAACAUUAUUCAUGUUAAUAGCAUAAAACGACAAAGUACAUAAACCUUCGAACAUGGUUAUAUUCAAGUCUUCGGAAUACUCAUAUCUCUGGAUCUGCAACGUUGACAACACCAAAGUCAUUGAUUGAAUGUGCAAUUAGUUAAAGUUGAUCUAACAAUUUGAAACAAACAAACACCAUAAUAAGACUAGAAAGACAAACAAUAUCGUACAAAGACGGCGAACAAAACAACGUCGCACUAAGAUAUUGGAUGAAGGAGAAGAAACUAGAGUUUUAGGUGUCGACUCUCAAGAGAGUGUUUUUUCUUUUUGAAUUCGUGAUUAAAGGACGGAGUUUUAGCAUGCAAUACAAAUUUCAUCAUUAAAAACAAUUAAUAAUUUGUAAAAUAAAAAUCAUUAAAAAGUUAUAAAUUGGUGAAACCAAGUAUUGGUUGUUUAUUAUAAUCACCAUUAAAGUAAAAAUUAAUGAAUGUUUUUGUGAGCUUAACUCAGUUGGUAUGAAUAAUGUAUAAUAUAUGUAAGGUUCGAGGUUUAAACCUCGGCAACCACAAAAAAAAAACUUUCUUGACAAAGAAAAAAGUAAAAUUAAUGAAGGUUGUUUAUCGAUUGCUUAAAUGUCAUAUGGGAAUUUGAGCCCACAAAAAUUAACUCGAACAAUCCAAAAUCAUUCAUUAAAGAUGCCCUCAGAAUCAAUCGAAACUAAUCUAAAUUAGCAUUUUUUUUUUUUUUCAAUCAUUUUAGCUACACUAAAUUUUUCAUCUUAAAUAAAAUAGCUUAAUCAACACGGAAUAUUUUCAGUUAAUGAAAUACUCUUUACAACACAUAAAUUAGUACAGAUGAAAUUACCAAAUAUCAAAGGGGUAGCCUAAUAUUAAGUCUUCUAAGCCAUAUUGAAUGAAGAAUCAUAUGAAACACAUCAAAUGGUUUAGCUGGUGGAUUCAACACAAAAUGUCUUUGAACUUUCAACACCCUCCUAUGCAAUUUCAAGUAUCUGGCAUGUGGAACACUUUUUAAUAUUGUCUUGAUUUCACUUAUCCUCUUUGAUGGAAUAUGCAAUGAAAAUUUGCUCCAAUCAAGAACAUCACUAAAGGGUAAUUGAUAGUUAUCCGAAACAAUCACAGGGACACAUCCAGUGUUUAUAGACUCCACAAGUCUAGGGCUAGCUACUUCAUAGCCACUUGGACACAAGCAAAACUUGCUUUUUCCCAUGAGUUUAAAGUACUUAAGUUUUUUUGGAAGAUAUUCAUACACUAGUACUUCUUUAUCUUUUCCUUUCCAUUGAUCUAGUAAUGUCUUUCUAAUCAUACCAUGUUCCCCUCCAGCAAAGAAAGCAAGUAUAGAACGAUUAUUUGAUUCUUUGCUUGGAAUUGGUGAGCUCAACUUGUAACCUUGUAGGUUCAUUUCAGGCAUUGAGACAUCUCUUUUAGGAUCAAACCCUUCAGAAGUGUUGGCAUUGCAUAACACUUUUAUUAAGUUCUUGAAAAGCUCUUUGCCUGAACUCUCUCUUGAGAUUUCUGGUGCCUGCAACAAGUUAAUAACUAUGCAUCAUUAAAAGGUAAGGAUCUAGCAAUAUAGUAGCAGCACAUUAGUCUUUAAUUAAAGUGAGUAGAUCAACAUUGGUGUAUUUGUUACCCAAUCAUGACAAGAUACUAGCAAAUGAUCUGCUCCUUUGCUCCUAUUCCAGUAUCUAUAUUUGUGAGCUAUGAUGUUGGUAUAAUCAAUGGUGACAUGCAUGAUUUGAUCCCUAGAGUAUGUGGUGAGAGGAUUGUAUAGGUAGUGCACCAUGUUUGUAACACUUAAGGGUAGCAUAAAGACAUGAGCCUCAUCUGGAUUGUGGGUCGAAAAUGGACUCAAUCUAUUCUCAAUUUCAGUCAUGAAAUGUCCCUCGAUGCCGUAAAUUGAACUCAUGGGUCCAUCAUGGACUAAUGGUGGUUCACCUUCUUUGUAAGUCCAAACUUUGAAUCUCUUCAACAUCUCUUUGUGACUUCUGAAGAAUUUUAGAACGUGUUAUGAAAGUUACAGCCAUGACAAAAAUAAAUAAAACAGUGGUACAUGGUAAUGACUUAUGAUAUAUGGUCCCAUACCAAAAAGGGACCUUCUCAAGCGUGAAGAGUGAAGAAUGGUGACUUUUUUAAUGUUCAUCAUAGCAAUAUUUAUGAUGAAGAUUUCAAGUGCAAUUCCGGGACUAAUAAUCCACCGUGCACGAGAAGGCAUAUCACUCAAAAGGAAGAAAAAAUUGAUGUAAACUUGUCAAGUCAUUGCCCAACUCGUUAAUGUAUGUAUAUAAAAUAAGAUUUCUUUUUUAACAAAGUGAUUAAAGUAUAUGAUGAAUCACUCACUAUUGUUAUUUUUUGGGAGAUUAUUUUUCAACCCUUGUAAACAUAUGUUUGUUUUCACGGUGGAAGCCCAUAGUGGCAUAGAUUGUUGUGAAAAGGAUAAAAAAAAAAUGUAGUUUUAACUUCAACGCAACUUGAAAAUGGAAAUCAAACAAAGCAUAAGUUAAUUUAAAAAUUUGCAUAAAAACAUCUGACUCUUUCUUUAUUAAGUGGUCAUAAAGAAAAAGAUAAUUGAAACGUAAUAAAUUAACGUCACAAUAAUAUAAAAAACGUUCAUCACAUUACAAUAAGAAACAUUAUAAUCGUUUUUAUAUACACUUUAAAUUAAAUCACACAUCAAUGAUAUUUUGCUAUUUCAUCAAAAAUAUAUCCACAACACAAAUAUCUAUAUAUGUUGAAGAAAAUAAUGAUUGUAGUACUAGCUAGUAAAACGUACAAAGUACAAUUUUGUUUGAGAUAAAAAGUAAUUUCAAACUCUUAUAAUGAGGAAAAAAUUUCAAACUCUUAUAAUUGGUGUAGCCUUUUUAACUAUUCCAACACCUAUUUUAAUUUCUCCAAUAUAUGUAGGCCUAUAAAUUAAAUUUACAUCAACGUUUCAUCAUCAACAGCAAAAUAAAAAAAAAUAAAAAAAAGAGUAUCAGAUGCGACAUGAAUUUUUUUGAAAUAAGAAAUAGGUCAACAAUAACAACGUAUAUAUUUUUUUGAUGAAACAAUAAAAACAUAUAUAUGAAAUUAAUAAUUUGAUCAAGCUAAUUAAAAGUGUAUGUAUAUGUAUAUGUAUAGUUACUUAACUGAUGAAAGGCAAAAGCAUUUCUGUAAACACAUCCUCUGGGGACAAAAUCUUGUAUCUCUGAUGUGAUUGUGAAGUUCCGUCUUUUUAUGGCUCUUCGAAUCGCCGCUCUUGCUUCACCCAACUCUUGUUCAAUUCUCACUAAACCGUUCUUCCCCCUCUGUUGCACCACUCAUGCAUAUUGCAUGCAUGUAAUUAAUUAAUAACACAAAUAAUAAUGAAACAUAUAAUUCAGUAAUAACAUGCAUAAAGGUAUUUAUACAUAACAUGUUAUCAUGAUUCAUGUGCAUCCAAUUCAAUAUUUAUAUAAAGAAAUUAAAAAGGACAAACUUUGAUGAUAGUAUGACCAACAGAUGAUGACAAGGGAGCAGGUGCAGCAGCUGCUGCAGCUUCCAGAGUUUUGAGAUUGUUUGUUGGAGGUGGGAGAUUGAUGGUAGGAAGUAGAAGAAGUAAGUCAUUUUGAUAAUAAACGAAGAAAAUAAUGAUGAACAACGUUACGGGAAAUACAAGCCAUGAGUAGUUCAUUAUCAAGGUUGCUGCCAUGGCUAUUUUGUUUCUGAUUAGUUUGGUGAUAAAUAGUUCACUAGUAGUAUUUCUAUAUUGGUCUCUCUUUUUCUCUCUCUUGGUUUGGCUCCUAUGAUAAGCUAUAAUAAUAAUUAGUAGUACAAAGGAAUUAGGGAAUGGGAAGAGAGAGAUGUCAUGGGCAUGGGGGAUUGUUGAAAUUAAUUAAUACUCCUAUAUAUGCUAACAUAACAUAUGAGAAUGACCAAGCUAGCUAGCUAUAACCCUUUAGAGAAGACAAGCUCACUUCUCAUGGUUGGUUAAGAAUAGUUGGUUAAUGUUUCAUGAAACGUUUUUUGAAUGAGGUCAUGGGGGAGGCACUUAAUUGUGUAUUAUUAUCUAUAUUAUAUUAUUUGAAGUUUUUUUUCUUUCAAAUGUAUGUAUCAAAAAUGUUUUUCUCACUUUAUCAUUUUUUUUAAGACAUAAAAAUGGAAUAUAUUAACACUGGCGGUGAGUGCUCCUCAGUACAAAGGUGUACCGAACAGACCACCCCAAAUAACAAUCUGUCACAUAAGUUAUAUACAAUAAAAACAGGUUCGUCGAUCCCCAAACAAAUCAAGGGGUCUGACCACCAUCUCUAGGCAUUAUUAGCCUUCAUCCACCAUAAAGAAUGCAAUUUUACUUCUUAAUUCAUAUUUUAACAUUUAAAAUUUUGCCAAAUGAAAUUGGUCAAAAGAAAUUUGGUGUAAUUGAGUUUCCGAAUCAUUUUCUUAAUAUUUUAAUCAUUGCCGAAUAAAAAUCGUCAUGUUAUUAUUUUUAAUGGUCAAAGUAAUAUUUUCUUUAUGUACUUUAAAUGUUGCCAAAUCAAAAUAUAUUUUUUAUACAUUAAUGGUUUAUUAACAAAUCAAAAUGGGUCCAUUUUUUUUUUCCUUAAAACGUUAUAGGAAAUCUUACCAAAUUACUCCAUAAAAUAGACUAUAAAAAUUAUCUAUUUACCUUUAUAAAAUAUAACACAAAAAUGGUAUUAAAAAUUAAAAUGUUUAUUUACUAAAUUAAUUUUUAUAUUUGUAUGGUAAACUUGAAUAAUUUCUGAAUUGAAUUCUUCUCUAUUUUAAUGAUUUCAAUUAAACAUCAUUUUGAUUAGUUUACUAUAUAAUAUUUUUACGAAUAUUACAAAUGAUGAUUGUCUCUGUCUAAAAUUACAAGUUGUUUUGACCAUUUUACAUGCAUUAAAAAAUAUAAUUUUGUAUAAAAAAUAGAUAUUAUAAAUUGUUUUACAAAAUCAUUCUUAAUAAAUGAUAUGAAAAAGAUAAAUUAAAGAAAGUAAUAAAUAGUUAACAAGGGUAUAAUUGAAAAAAUAGCAUUAAUGUUUAAUUGGUAUCCUAAAACAACUUAAAAUUUAUGAUUUUUUUCUUAUAAUGUGAGAGGCAAGAGUAUAUGUUAUAGCAUAUGUAUCACGAAACACACGAAGAAUUACAUUUUUUUUUAAAAGCAUGAGAAAACAUGAAAUGAAAAUAAUUGUGAAACUGACCGCAAGUUGUUAAUUUUAUUUUCUUAAAAUAAAAACUAAAUAAAGAUUAGAAAAACUUUGGUAGUGAUGGAGACUUGAUCACGGGUCUCCAUGGAAUUCUGAGUGGACCUUAAUUCUUCGGUUAAUUGCAAUUUGAGUCUAGUGCUAGCAUAAUCAUUACUUAUAAUGUGGAGACAUAUUCAACUUUCAAUCUCAUUCAUUACCCACCAGCACUGAGCAGAGAAAACUGAUAAACCCAAUACAAGAUGUGCAAGGUGACCUAGAAAGAUAUGAUAUAGGAGAGAAAACUCCAAACAAAACAAGCAACUGCUAGAACAGCAGUUUGCAAGGCUGUUGUGUUGGAUGGAUCAUUGACAAUUCAGAAUAUCUUUGAACAAUAUCUACAACAAGAAAAUAGCAUACCAGAAAGUCUAAUAAUAAUACAUCAAUAGCAGUCAAUGUCUUUGAACAAUGAAGAAAAAUUCCUUUUACAUGUUUAUUUUUGCCCUCAAUCCUAAACAUAAAAAAUGAGUUUAUACAUACUUUCAACUCCAAAUCUAUCCCUAGCUAACUUUUAUAAUCAACAUUUUGGAACUUAAAAAAGCCAUGGUAAAAUGAGUUUAUAGUGAGUUCCAAGCUGAUGCCAACCUUGAGUGAAGUGAAAUAUACUUUAUUUUUUCUCUUCUCCACACUAACCUCAAACUCAUUUCUACAUUGAUCAGAUAAGUAGAUAACACAUCAUGAUUUUGGAUUACAUUCUUGGCAACUUCAAUUUUGUUUACAUUUGAUUGAUAACAAAGGUUAAAACACAACCAGACCAAACAACAUAGGGUAAUAUAAGAUCAGAUCACUCACAAUUUAUUCACGGAUGCAGGGUAAUAUUCACAAUGACAAGUGCAGGAUACACAAUAUCAACUCCUCGUACCGGAACCAUGUUCAUCUGCAUUUUGUCAUACUAUGAAUAUAUCAUGAGAUAACAAAAACAUUAUAGAAUACAAACACUAUUAGUGAAAAUUAAAAGUUAAAAUCUCAGGAUGUCAAAUGAUCAUAAAUUCCCUCACCAAGAUACCAAAAUUCAACAGCAUAGUACCAAUCCAAAUAAUUUUUUUCUAUUAAAUUUUUCAGAAGUAAUAGAUGGAGUUCCUGAAAAGGAAUAUGAAAUGGGACUUUUAUAGUUCUAAUCAAAUUUUUCAAAUGAUUCCAUGAGGCAGAAAUGAACCUCAAUAUGCUUGAGAAAUUAAAUUAUUAAUCGCUUCACUAACAAAAAUAUAAAUUAGAGCUUCUUUGCAAUCUUCCUUUAAUUGCUAAAACUUCUAAUAUGUAUGCUAACUAUUGUACAGAAAAAUGAUAAUAAUGCUAUUAAUAUCACAGCCACUACUAUCAUCAAAACUCAUCAAAUCUAAUUUUUUUUUUUCUUUCUCAUUGAAUAUUGCAUCAUAUGUAACAGAAAAACUAUCUACCUUGAGGUGGUGAACAUCACUCCCACAGAUUCUACUAGCUUUCAUUUUAAUUCUGACAUCAUUGGGUCCUUCAAACAUACAAAAAUAGUUAUAUCAGAAACACAAAUUUUAGAAACAUGCAAAAACACUAAAAUCACGAAAACAAAACAUCGAAAUUCAAAAUCACCAACCAGCAACAAAAAACGAAAGAAUCAUUAUAAUGGGAAACCAAAGAUUGCUUUUCUUGUUGGGAGCAAUUGCUGUUAAUUGUUUACUGUUUCAGUCAAUUUUGGUUCCAUAUGAAAAUGAAAGAGCUCCUUGAUCUUCUUCUGAUUUCAAUAAUGCUCUUAUGGUGGAGAAAGUGUGAAUAUUCCCAUUAUUGAAGAUGUAGGAGUGCAUAACUAUGCAAAGAUGUAGUAGUUUAGUUUCUGAACUUGGAGUGGAUAGAAAUAAUUUUCAUAUUUUACUUGAGAAGAAAGAUGUUGGUAAAAUAAAAAGUUGAAGUUAGAUAAUGUAGGUUUCAAGAAAAGUUUCAUAGCAGUGAAGCCAUGUUUGGAGACGAAAAUGGGAAUUUCUACAAUUUCUCAGUUGGUAAAAAGUAAAAAUAUUGAUUCAAGGGAGCAUGAUGGAGUUGGUUUUGGUGCCUCACAGAGUUCAAUUUCAUUGACUAAUCAGACUCUUGAAAAUUCUCCUCAGAUUAAGUAGUUGUCUGCCUCAGAUAAAAGUACUGCGGCGAAUAAUAUUACUAUGAGAAAGAUAAGGUGUAAUAUGCCCCCCUAAGUCAAGAAUGUUGAUACAGGAGAUGAACCAUUUACUAGAGACCCGCCGCACUUCUUCUCGCGCAAUGGUAUUAUUUUUGACAAUAAUGAAAAUUUUGACCUUGUAAUGCAGAUAUUUGUUGAAAACUGAGUAAAUAUUUUUCCUUUUUGCAAUUUAUGAAUGAAAAAUUCAGUAUUGUAUAUAGAAAUUAGAAACAAUAAAAAAGACAAACUUUAGUACUCAUGCAUUGUUUUGGAGCACAGGUGAUUGCUAUGAAAUGGACACCAAUUUUGAUCAUGGUCAUUACUUCUAUUGCUCUUCUAGGGGCUGGCUUAGUUAUCAGAGAUGACUAUAUUUCUAUUUUUAAUUCAGAAGGAAGUGCAAGUGAAUCUGAGGAUGAUAAUGAGAGAAAUGAUGUGGCAGAGGAAGAAACAGAUGAAGAUGACAAUGUCUUUUUUGAUGCCUGUGAUAUUCUAUCAUCAAGAGUUUCAUCUUUCUCAUCUGAUAAUGAUGCAUUUGAAUAUGUAGAUUCUUCAAAUAGAAAUUGCCAGACCCUGUAGAGAAAGAGAAAGAGAAAGGUGUUAGUCUUUGGUCAAUGAUCAAGGAAAAUAUAGGGAAAGAUCUAACAAAAGUUUGCCUUCCUGUUUACUUUAAUGAGCUUUGAAGAAAUGGAGUGCUCAUAUGUGCUUGACCAAGCAUAUGAAUGGGGAAAAAGGGUAAGUCAUAUUUGGCUGACAGAUUUAUAUUAAGGAAAAUAUGGGCACUUCAAUAUGAUCUAAGAAAACUAUUUGAUAAAAUAUUGUGCGAUGUUGAUUUUUGUUUACUAUUAGCUCUUUCAAUGCUGUAUUGGUGUGCUCUUCCCUUUUGCUGUAUCUGCCUAUGCUUCAACCGAAGGAAGAAUUUGCAAACUAUUUAAUCCAUUACUUGGACUCCUUCACAUCUGUUUGAAAGGAACAAUGUUCCCAAUAUGGAGGACAAGAAUUUUGGGAACUACACUAUUUAAUUCAUGAAUACACAUAUUGAGUCCAUUAGUUCUACACAACCCUAUGAACAUGAUACACUUUAAUUUGGAGAUACAAAUAUUUAUGCUACCUCUCAGGUCAGCCAUCACUCUAUGAUAGUUGCAUGUCACUGUCGGUACUUUGACUUUGGAAUUUGAUGAUGGGACCCUUUUUUCAUGAGUUGAACAAAUGCAUGUUGUGGAUUAUGAUAAAGGUCAUCAUUGAUGAGAAUUGAUAGAGGUCAUUGUUGUUUGGUGUGAUGCUAAUUCUCUAACACAGAUGGUUUUUUGGCAUAAUUGAUGAGAUAUAAAAUUGAUUACCUUUUUGGUUAUAUCAUUGGUGUUAAUAAAAUUGGUGAUGCUUGAAUUGUUAACUAGAUGGUUGUUUUUUUUGCAAUAUUAAGGGACAGGAAAGGAUGGCAAGAAUGUUUACUUGAAGGAUAUUUGGCCAUCCAAUGAAGAAAUUGCACAGGUGAAUGAUGCCUGGUAUUAUCAUUAUGUUAAAUUACUUAUUGAGAAUUUGAGAUAUGAUGUGUACAGAAAAAUUAACUUUGGUUUUUGCUUGAUUCCAAUACAGCGUGUUGCCUGACAUGUUCACAAGUACAUAUGAAGCUAUUACUAAGGGUAACCCUAUGUGGAACGAACUACAAGUUCCUGCUGAGAAGCCGUAUUCACGGGACCCCAACUCAACAUGCAUUCACGAGCCUCCAUACUUCAAGGACAUGACAAUGGUCCUCCUGGACCUCAUGGUGUGAAGGAUGCCUAUUGCCUGUUGAGUUUUGGUGACAGUAUAACAAAAACUGAUCACAUUUCUCCAACUGGAAACAUUAACAAGGACAGUCCUGCUGCACAAUACCUUAUGCAAAGUGGGGUGGAAAAGAAGGAUUUCAACUCUUAUGGAAGCCGCCGUGGCAAUGAUGAAUCACAUACUCACAAGAUUAAUGACGUAAAAUAAGACAAACGAAACAAAUGCUAGAUAUCAGAAUAAUGACACGCUAGACUCCACACAACCACAUAAUCGAAAACACCAGACCAAAAACACACCAACAGCAUGCCCCUGCACUCUACCUCAAGCCGAUCGCUCCACAAACAACAAUCCAAAACCACUAGAGAAAAAUACAAACUACCUUAUGAAACACUCUCCCGGACACCACUCCAUUCGAAAGUGAAUGGUACAGGUUAAUAAUCUGAAUGCCAACAUGGUUAAUAAUAAUAUGAACAAUUUAACUACAUAGCUACAUGGCAACAUAAAAACUAAGCUAUUCAAACAACAGCAUUUGCUACAUAAGCUCUAAUCUGAAGAAUAAACGUGCAGUAUUCCAUCUUCCCUCUUACUAAUAAUAUAAAGCACAUCUCUAUAGUUUCAUUAGAAACAAUGAAAGAAUAAAAACCCAGGAGAUGCCAACAGUGAUCACUUCAGCACAGGAAGCUACCAGAACAAUUUGAUGACAUAACCAUUCAAAGCGGGAAAAAGUAAAUGACCUUUUGACUUGCCAUUUUGCAGGUCUCUUAUAAAUACUGCACGGGUGCAGAAUUUCCCCCUGUUCAUAGAUUAAGAAACUGUCCGUUAGUUAUCAAGAUCUAUUGCACAGAUAUUAUAAAAACAGUAGCCCAAAACAAAAAUAGGGAACCAUACCUUUCUAACAAGCAUCUGUUAGAUAAUCUUAUUUCGUACUUCCUCGAGUUUCUUUAGUAUCUCUCCAGGGGUCCUGUCCAAUUCAUCAGCAAUUUUUCUCUGCAGAUCCAUCGGCAAUGUUGGGAAUUGCUCACAUAGGUCCCCAUCAAUCACAUCCUACACAAAUAUGAAGGCCUCUCAGAAUUGUCAAAAAUUAAAGAAACUGAUUGAUCAACAAUUUCACAGCAACUGAAUCAAGACUUUCAUUCAAAUGAGGAAAAAGGGACGGGUUAAUUGGAGGGACAUAAUUAGACAUUUUGUUUGGUUGAGAGAGGAGGGGAGAUAAGCCUAUCUUUGUUUGGUUCACAGGAGGACGAAUUUCAUCGAGGAAGGGGAAGAUAAUCCUUUUCAUUUUAUCAAAUACAUUUCAGCCUGAUGCCAUAUAAAAUCUAAUGAACCAUACCUCUCCUCUAAAUCCACCAAUAUUUGGAGGAGUAAGAAUUGAACCAGAAGGAUUUUGCUACACUAUGCUAAAACCAAAAUCACUAAGGAAACCAAACUAAAGUGAACAGACCUAUUUUAUACACUCAAAAGCAACAAUAUCAGUAUCAACCUAUAACAGAAGGUUAAUAAAAAUAAAUUUUUUUAUUUGAUUUCAACAAACAAGUUUAGGAUUUGACAAUACACAAAUAUGAAAGUGAAGGCUUGUUAUUUAAAUGUAGAUUAAUAAUGAUUUGUUCAAAUUCUGCUAUGCUAAAGCGUGCCGCUAUUUAACAAUGCUGAACUGACAGCAGUGCAAAAGGUAUAUAAGAAAACCAAAGUUUUACUAUCAAGCACGCAUAGUAUAGCUAAGAUACAAGAAUGGAACAUGCACAACCUAUUUUUAUUAGAUUAGAGUCUAAUCUAUGUUAUUUCCAAUUUACAUUGGUUAGAAUUACACUAAAUGAAUGAACAAAUGACACAUUUGGGUGUGUUAAUGUUUUCAUUAAAGGUAGAAGAUAAAAAGCCUCGGACAGAAGAACAAGUCAUGAAAAUGUAAUGGAGAGGAUGCUUUUAUCCCGUAUGGAUGGCAAGCAACCAUUUGGAAUAACUGUAAGAAAAAACGCAUAAUAGUUUAGUAUAUACCUUAACAGGAAAAUAAGCAGAUCUAUAAGCCAUGUGGUCUCUUCCACACAAAGGAGGAUUGUCCUGUCUCAUAUGCAUCUCCAAAUGAGAAAAAAAAUCAACAUCAUCUCGUGAAGUAAACGCGUGUAAUGCACCGACACUUCCCAUAACUGUUCCAUAUACAAUGCACUCUCCACCACCUGGUACAAGAGAAGCCUUUUGCAAGCUUGUGAUCACAUCCCCUACAUGGAAUUGUACAAUUUCUUCAACCUUAUUGGGAGCUCCAUUCAGCUUUCCCUGCUCCCACUUGAUCUUCCCACCAGUAGGAUCUUCUUCUAUCUCAUCAGAAACAUCCUGUGGCAACCGCGCAAAAAAGAUAUUUCCAAACUUGUCUGCACCUGCCAUGGUGUCAAAAUCUAUGUGAUAUGACGAAGUAAGCCAUCUUGGAACAGAAUCAUCAGCAAAUAUGUAAAGCUGGUUUUCAUCCCGUCUAUACUUGCAGUAAUGGAAAGACUGGAGAGAAUACACAACACAAUUAGCUGAAGAUUUUAUUUUGUGAACAGAAAUAGGAGAGUAGCAACACAUUCAAUCUGCGAACAAACAUGUUGUCUGUUUGCAAAAUUAUGAAAAUUUUAAUUCCUUAUAGAAGCCUUAGUCAAGUUUUCCAAAAUAGUAUACUUCCAACUGGAGCAUUCUUAAGAAAACAUGCGAUAACAAAUGCUAACAGCAAAAGGCAGAAGUCAUAACAAACGAUAAUUGUCGGAAUGUCUAACUCAAAUAUCCAGAUAUUCAACAAAUAAAGACAAAAAUUGUAUAGAAACAUACCUCUUGGAUGCCACCUACAUAAAUUCGAUCACGGUAGGCAUGAAUAGAGACAAUGGAGCUGGGGAAUGACUUAUUCUCACAUUUUCUUAAUAAUCGUCUUUUUCCCAAAUCAUAUAGCCUGAGUACAGGUCCAAUUCCUGCAAGUAAUCUUCCUUGAAACUGACAUAGAGCGAGAGGAACACCCUCAACCUGAGUUUUGUGGAGAAGUUCAAGAGACCUUCCAUCAUCUAGAAACCUAUAUAUAUGAAUGAAUCCAGCAGUUAAACUCCUUUUGGGUGUAAACUGCAGUCCCUUAGCUGUACCAACAGCUAAAAGGGUUCCGUAUUCCUUGUCAUGAAAAUUUACAGUGCAUAUGCUGAAUGCAGCCUCAUUCUCCUGAAGCUCCAAAAGACAGGUCGUAUUUCCUGUCCUUGGAUCAAGAACUCUGAUGCAGGAUACCCACUUAUCUGAUUCAGAUUUUGGAUAACCAUAAUGCUCGUCAGAGAGGGAAUCGUCGUUAUCCUCAUCCUCCCCACCAUUCUCCAUUUGAUCUUCACUUCCAGUCUUAUUUUCCCCAGCAUGAGCAGCCUCAAAACACUCUUUCCUUGCAGCUUCACGCUCUUCUGCUGUAAGUGCUCCUUGAUCACUCUCAAUCACCACCAGAAGUUUCCGUUUUGGUUGCAGCACAAAUUUCCUUGGGGUGUAUCUAAGAGGAAUAACAUUCUGAUUAAAUGUUUCUCCUAACCUUUCAACGGUAAAAAUCCUCAAUGCCUCACUAGCAACAGACACUACACCUUCAAAACAUUGGUCAGAUGAAAAUGACGCGGCGUAUUCAAGGGUUUCAUAUGAAAGGGGCGUUAAAAGGAAAUGUCCUUGGUGAAUAUAACCAAGCCAAGGUCGACUUGACAGGCAAAGCAUAGCACGCUUUCCUCUUACAAUAAUGGGAAACAGCUUUGGGGCUUUUAAUCCUAAGAAUCGGGAACGGGUAUCAGAAAGAAGACCUGUGACCAUAUCCACCACAGUUCUAGACAAGACACCAUUCUGCAAACCAGCAUUAAGGAAAAGGCUAGCAGGAUGAUCUGCACCAUCCUCACCACCAACAGAUGCUUGAACUUCAAGGAAAAGAAGAGAUUCUGGGGCUGAAGAAAGACUCUGUAUACCUAGAGUCUGCAUACAAUCAUCGGGAUCCAACGAUAAGAUUCGGAUCGUUUUGUCAUAUGAGCCAACUGCAAGAAAACGGGAUCUUAGUCUGCCUUUAGGCACUGGAGCAAUGUCCAAACAAGCAACAUCUCCUGACAUUUCAUGCCGCUCCACCUCCAUCAGCUGACCAGUUACAUCGACUUCAAAAUAUAUAAGCUCCCCACCGUUCAGCGCAAUAACAACCUGAAGUCUAUUGGACCCAACUUUUGCAAUUGUCCUCUUUCCAGAAGUUUGCCACUCAUUCGUACGGCCAUCCUCCCUAAUAUGCCUAAUACCAUUUGGAUGAACCUGCAUGAGAGAAUCAUCGCCUAUCAAAGAAACAGCGAGGGAGGGAGCAGUAUCCAGAAAACCACUGUCGCUGACUUCAUCAGCAGUCUCACCAAUAGAAAGCACAAGUGUGGCAUUUGUGAAGGACACAACGAUAUAUGCAUCAAACUCAUCCAUAACAUUCUUCUUAACAGUCCAAACAGCACUAGGUAUACCAGGAAGCUUGGAAACCGCCAUCUCACUAACUGCCAAACCAGUUCUCAUGAUCCUCAGAGAUGACCGAGGACCGCGCCCACAAAGAGUAAAAAUUUGGGGAGUCUCCUCUUCAAAGAGAUUACUGACCUUCAUAUCCAUGACAGGCAUCAAACUCUCAACCUGGUCAAUCCUAACAAGGUUUUUGAGUCUCCUGGGCUGGAAAAACACAGGCUGAAAACCCUCUUCUGUUUCCAUCAGACUCGCAGACGAUGCUCCCACAUCAUUAUCAUCAUCCCCUAUUCCCUUAAAUUGAUACAAUGCAUGAUUCCCAAACUCGGAAGCUGCAAACAAGAACCCCGACUUGAGCACACAAAUUGAUACAGCAACAGCAAUAGUAUCAAAAUACUUAAUAUUCAAUUCAGAGACACGGUCACCACCACCGUCAGUCAAAGUUACCUUAAAGAUAUCACCAUACUCAGUCUGCAAAAGGAAGAACAAUUUAAACUCCUCAGGUUUCAAAUUCUUUGUUUUAUGCAUAGCAGCCGAAACAAUGAGAACACCACGCUCGGCAGGCAAAUCAGCACGUCUCGGAAUCACAGCCCUAACAUCCGGAUGACCCUGAUUCUUAUAAAUAACAAAAUUUUCAGCACAAACAAGCACCCCACUAGGGCCAUCAGCACCACCAGGAACAGUCACAAGCAUAUUAGCACCAUUAUCAACCUGAUCAGACCACUUCCUAGAAACAUGAUUAAGACCCAAAUCAAGUUCAUAAAAAAUCAAAUGCUUCUGAGCUUGAGAAGCAGCCACACCAGUAGCAUCCUGAUCAGCAUCAGAACAAUCCAAUUCAAUAGCAGCAAAUAUAGGAUUUUCAAAACCACAAUCAACAGCACAAAUUGAAAAAACAAUAGUAUGAGAUUUAUUUGCUUCUAAAGGCGAAGAAAUUGUUAACCUAGCUAAACUAUCUCUAUUCAAAACAUAAACAAGCUUCUUUUUUUCACAAGCAGCAAUCAUAACAGCUCUACCUUUAGGAUCAAUUGCAAGAUACUGACCAGGAACAAUUCUCCGGCAACCUGAUUUCCCAAAAGUUUCUUGGUGAAUUUUAUCAAAAACGUUUUUCUGUUUGUUGUAAUCAAGGAUUACGAUUCUGCCGGAGUCAGAACCGACGACGAUGAAGUCUUUCUGAGCUCCGGUGAGACGGAACUGAGACAGGGAGCGAAUGGUGCCGAAAACUUGGACGGAAAGGAUUGAUUGAAUGCGGCCAAAUUUGUCGGGGCGAAGAAGUUCGAGAACCUUGCCUCUGGCGACGACGAUUUCUUGGGUAAUACCGUCGUCUGAGCCGGAGAAGUUGCCGUUGAUUGCACAGACAAUGCCGGUGGGUCGUUGCAGAGUGAGAUUGUAGAGAUACAUGGCUAUGACAAAGCGAUGCACAGAAGGGUUUAGGGUUUUAGAGAUUUCGAUAUGGUAAUUGUGAAGGGUUUACGGUUAUAGCGGUUGGGUUAUCGAUUACGAUUUGAUAAUCGUGUUUUUGGUUAUGGAGAAUGGUGUUUAUAUACUCUUCUAAUGAGUGAAGGAAAGGAAAAUAAUUCUGGAAUAUGGGCCGUGCUUUUUUUAUUUGGUAAUACCCAAAAAUCUUUUAUGCCCCCUGAAUUUCCCAAUUUGCCCUUAAUCCAAGAGUUCUGUAUGUCUUGAGUUGAACUUGAACGUACGUGCAGUGCAGGAUUUGUAUUUUCACUGUCUCAUUUCAUCUUCCUUUCUCUGAGUUCAAAAAUCGACCUAUUCCUUCUCCAGUUCAUUUUUCACCCAAUUUAUGUUCCUUCUGUACGCAUCAAAUGAUUUCUCUAAGUCGACCUAUUGUUGAAUCUUGUUCCUAAAAUCUGUUCUCGUAAGAGUUUUGUUAGGGUUAUCUCCAAAGUUAAGGUAAAAUCUCCACUUAAAUUUUAAGUUUCAGUUUCUAGUAUAUAACUAUUGAUUGCAAUAUUAUUGCUACAGUUGUUCUGUAUUUGAUACUCAGUUUCUAAACUGCUUGAUUCUUCAGGUAUACAAUAAUAAUCCCAUUCCAAAUUGCUUGUAUUUGGUUCCUUUAUGUUAUGCUUGUAAUGAAAUCUAAUUGGUUACUGGCUGCCUUUUUUUUUUUGUAUAUUUGAAUUGGAUUUAAGUAGUUUGUUUUAACGUGUUCCAAGUGUUCGACAAGAUUUUUUUUUUUUUUUUUGUAGUAUAUAUGAAUAACGAAGAUGUUGGUAGGACACGACAUGGUAAGGAGUCAUUGCAUGCUUCUGUCUGCGGAGAGCGAGUGGCAAACACUCAGGCAAGGACACGUGGGUGACGAUGUGGUCAACUGGUCGUGGGCGUGGUCUGAGCGAGGGACCGGAAGGCUCUGGUUCAUAGUCUCAGGUUGAUAUCGAGAUGCCAUCAUCAAAGGAAGUAUCUGGCUCACAACCUCCUUCUGUAGGAGUGGUUCAAGAGGGCUAUGGCAGAGGACCUUCUGAGACGUCUUUGUUGCCGAAUUUUGGCCAACAUAUUGCAGCCAAGAUUUGGAAUGGAGAGGUAAGAAUACUUGCAUGAAUCAAUGAAGGAACCAACAAUGUGCAUAUUAACAUCACAUAAUAGUUAGAUUUAUAAAAGAGACUGCAAGUGUCGUAGACUAACCAAAAAUGAAUUUUUUCCAAUAUUUACAUCAGACAAAAUGAAAAGAACAAAUGGCAUCCCAAAGUCAAGAUAGUUUACGAUAACAAUCCAAAGCGAUACGCUAAAAUAGUAGAAGUUCAAAUAGUUCAACAACAAAGAUCUACUUUUGAACAACUCGAACGUGCAAGUUCUUUGAUGACUUUUCGAGAUCAAAGAUAAGCUUACCACCUUCUUCCAUCACACGUUCUCUGCUGAAAUUGAACCACUGUCCAUCCAAGUAUUUUUCAUAGCUUGCUCUUUCGGCGGUAAUGGGGCGACACUUAUAUUUUCUCUAUGUCUGGUCAUCAAUGAUAGUGAUUGUUUUGCGCAUUUCUUUCAGAAUUGUUCUUGACACCUCGUUUGGAAAAUACUAAACAGGGAAAUAACUGCAAUAUUAGUCUAAUGCAUAUUAACAUGGAUAAGAUGUAUGUGAAUAUAGUUACAUAUAAUUUAUAAAAUAAAGGUGGCAUAAGCUAAAGAAAAUGUACCAUGACUUCUAAUUUAUCUUCAUAUUAGCUUCCUAUAAAGUCUAGAUAAAUGCAUGCAUGUGAAUUAUAUGUACCUCGUUGGCUAAUUAACAUUGUUGAAACAAACGGAAAUUAAGCAUCGCUCCCGCAUGUGCAUCUAUAGCUAGCAUCAUUUGACAUUGAUGUCUUCGAACAUUUAAUGCAACUCUCGUAAUACCAUUCAAAUUGGUUAUGAUUGAAUUUAGUUGUUUUCCAAAUAGUGAUGCAGUAUGUUUCCUAACACAAAUUAUGCACAUAAAAUAAAGAAUAAUGCAAUAUGUAUUUUUAUUUUGUGCGUAAAAAAAUUCAAAGCAUGUUUGUGCAUAAAAAAAAAAAAACAAACCUUUACUAAGUUUGUAAAUUCAAUAAUUGGCCUAACUUGAGACAAAUUGAAAAAAUAAUUGUACGAAGUACGUUGAGAAGAAGCUGAACUCUGACUUAAGUUCUGACUGAAGCUUUGACUCUAAGUUUGAGAAGUGUUAAGGUCACAACAACAAUUCAAUAAACAUGGUCAAACAACAAUCAAAUCAGAUUGUGAAAUAAUAAGUUACUCUAACACUGUAUUUUGAAAUCAUAAUGCAAACUUACUAAGUCUUAAACUUCUCAACAACCAGAUGAUUUAGGUUGAUGACCAGCCUCGAACCUGACCAAUUGUUACAUAUAUUUGGGUUGCCAUUGACUACAAAAUAGAAGCAAAUAACUCAAUGUAUAUAGAUAGUAAAUGAUAAAGCUACAAAGUAUUUUUUUCAGGUCAUUAUCAACCAUAUUCCCACUGUAUAAGUAAAUACAUCUUUCAGGUCAUUAUCAAACUUAUAUAAAAUUGUAUCACCUGAUCCUGAAAAAUUAGAAAAUAAUACUUUUUAUCUUUCAAAACAAUGUUCGUACACGGUGUCUUGACAAUCUCAUGAAGAAGUCCGAUGAUUUCUUAAAAAAAAAAUUACAUCUAUAAGAACAAUAUAAUCGGAGAAAACACAGAAAUAAAUUAAAGCACAUAAUUAUACCAUAUAAAACGUCAGUUUUAAAUUUUCCAUCUUGAAUUUUCUUAAAUGACUUAAAGCGAAAUUCAUGAGUAAGAACGUUAGUUAACUUGUCAUACUUCUGCAUCUUUGUACCAGAACUAAAAACAACCUUAAAGGGAUUAAAUGCAACGUCAUUAUCAAACAUAUGACAAUUAUACAAAGUAUAAGUCUUGUUUUCCUCGAUCAAAGCCUUGCUCCAAUUCUCUAUAUCGAGUUAUUACAUGAACUCAAUCACCCUAAAUCCGAGAAAGAAACCAAAAAAUAUAAAUAAAUCAAAAUGUACACUAAUAAUUAACAUUGAUAAAUCAUAAUGAAAAUUACAACAAAUUUUAACUAACUCAUCUAACUUUUGCAUCACAAAUAACGAGCUUCAUAUGUUGAUUCUCAUUACUACCCGUCAUAAUCCAAGAAUCCAACACUCCAAAUCCUAUUUUCCAAAUGUCCAAAUCAUUCUUGAGAUCAUUAAUGUAGUCAUAAUCCCUUGACAUUGAAAGUCUUAUAUAGAAAUACAAUAAUACAUCAUUUAAUUUUAUUCUCUUUGUUCAUUCUGAUAUUGAAAGAAACUAACAUAUUUCAAUGUGAUCAAUUUUUGUAUCAUCAAUUCAACCUGAUCUUAAAUGCACAAAUUUCUGUAUCGUCAACUUUCUGGACCUCAAUGAUAUGACCAAAACAAAUUUACACCAAUCAACUUUCGUACGGCUCAAUGAUAUAAGAAAGAAUAAACCAAAUACGAAAACUGUUACAACUUUAGGAUUGCUCACAAAAAAUAAAAUAACCCACAUGCAUCAAUUUUUUCAACUACAGUACCAGAAACUAAAAUAACAAUUGUGUCAAAACCUUACAAUGAGCUAAAAUUCAAUCAUCAUGACCUCUACUAAAUUCCACAUAACAAAGUAAGAUUUAUUUAUGCAUUGUUCCUAUCAAAAGUUCACGAGGACAAAACUUUGAAUUUAUUAUGAAUUAACAUAAUAAAUAAAUAAAUAAAAAUGUUUAAAAUAUUUUCUGAAGGCCAAAAAUGUUAAAAAAAAAAAGAUUUUUUUUUUUUUUACAAAUACUAUAUUUACUCAAUAACGUUUAUUUUGUGUAACAUGAAUACAAAUUUGUAUCAUCAUAUAAAUGACUUGUUAAAUAUUUGAAUAGGAUAAACAAUAUAAGGAGUCUGAAAUAAUAACAUAAAUAAUAUCAAAAUAGUUGAUUUUUUUUAUUUCAAUUAUACUUUAUAACAAAUUUCGUUAUAAGAAUACCAUAUUUUUGGUCUCUUUCAAAAAUAUAAAAAUUUAUAUUAUAUUUGUUACAUUGUUGGUGUCAUGGAAACAAAUAUGGUUAGUUUUUAUGAAUAAUAAAAAAAUUAAGCAUAGUUUUUUUAGGUACCUAUACCUUUUUUGAAGAAAAGAUAUCUACAAUUUUACUUUUAAUUAAAAUCAAAAUCUUAUAAAAAUAAAAAUACGCAGUAUGCAACGCCAAAAAAAAUUAUGCGCAUCAGUGUAACAAAAAAACAGACACACAUAAAACAUUACUCUAAACGCUAAUGUGUGUAUGUAUAUAUUAGCGAGGUUGAAGAAAGAAAAUAAAAAUAUUUGGUAUCAUAAAUGACAGCGUGAAUAAAAAUAUUUGUGAGGUUGUGAUGAUUAAACAAUAUUGAAAUUAAAUAUAUAAAUGAUAAAAAGAUAAUAAAAUUCUUUUGAAAAAAAAAGGUAAUAAAAUUAAGUGGAACAUCCUUAAAAAAAAUUAAAUGGAACGGUUCAAAAAAAAAAUGGAAGAAAAAAAAAUAUUGAAAUAUAAUAUUAAAAAAUAAAAGAAAAGGUUCCCGGCGUGAAUUGAAGAGAGAUGCUUGUGAAAUAAAUCGUCGAGAAGUAGUUUUUUGAAAUAACAUUCAACAACUUUUGGCCAAAGCUCAUUCCAUUCAAUUUUAUGCAUUAAAAAAAAAGUGUCUUUUUUAGUAAGUACUUAAUUGAUAUUGUAUUUGGCUUAAAUUCUCCUUAAAAAUGUAGAGAAGUUGAAAAAAAAUCGGGUCAAUCGAUAUCUUAAUCUCCCACAACAGCAGUGUAGAAGCAACUGAAAUUGGAAGAAAAAAUUGGAAAAUAGUUAAUAUUAAAAAAAUUGGAAAAUAGUUAAAAAAAUUUAAAAAUAUAAAAAUUGGAAAAUAGUUAAAAAAAAUCGGUGAGGUAGCACUCAACCAAGCAACACUAAAAAAAAUUAUAUGCAUUAACGUAACAAAAAAACAGACAAAUGACCAUAAAAUAUUACUCUAAACGUUAAUGUGUGUGUGUGUAUUCGCGAGGUUGAAGAAAGGAAAUAAAAAUAUUUGGUAUCAUUAAAUGACAACGUGAAUAAAAUAUUUGUGAGGUUGUGAUGAUUAAACGAUAUUGAAAUUAAAUAUAUAAGUGAUAAAAAGAUAAUAAAAUUCCUUUGAAAAAAAGAUAAUAAAAUUAAAUGAAACCUCCUUAAAAAUUUAGAUGGAACGGUUCAAAAAAUUAAAUAAAAUUAAUAUAAAUGGAAGAAAAAACAUAUUGAAAUAUAAUAUUAAAAAUAAAAGAAAAGGUUUCCAACGUGAGUUGAAAAGAGGUGUUUUUGAAAUAAAUUGUCAAGAAGUAGUUUUAUAAAGUAACAUUCAACAACUUUUGGCCAAAGCUCAUUCCAUUCAAUUUUAUGCAUUCAAAAAAAGUGUUUUUUUUAGUAAGCAUUUAAUUGAUAUUGUGUUCGACCCUAUGAAGCCCGGAUACGUAGUACAAAUACGGGUACGCGGAUACAAAUUUUUUUUUAAAAUUAGGAUACGAUACGGCUAAUAUACGUUAACAAAUUAUUUAUACUAAAAUUUAUAUGCAUGUAAAAUACUUAGAAAAACAUUGAUUACUAUUCAAUACUAUAUAAUCAUAAAAGUCGCAAUUUACAAAAAAUAAUACAUGUGAUCAAAAUAAAAAAUGUAUAAGUAUUCGUGUGUAUCUGUCGAUUAUCUUAUAAGUAUCCGAUAAAAUAUAUAUUUUAAAUUAAAAUAAUUAAUUCUGAUACUUCGUGGGUACGUAUCCGCGGAGUAUCAGAAUCUGAUACGUAUCCAGUACGGUUACAUCUCCAUUUUGGGGUAUCCGGGCUUGAUAGACUAACUUCUCCUAAAAAAUAUAGAGAAGUUGAAAAACAGCCGGGUCAAACGAUACCUUAAUCUCCCACAACGGCAAUGAAGAAGCAACUGAAUUUAAGAUUAUUUUUAAUCUUAUAAAAUAAAUAUAAAAUAUAAAAUAAAAUAUAGAAUUUGGAUGAGUUGGCACUCUCCAAAGAUAAGGAAUUAUAAAAUUACCAAAUUGCCCCUCUAGGGACAAAAUUGGAAAUUCAUAUGACAUCAAUUUUAAUAAAUAAUAAAUAAAUAAUAAAGUAAUAAAUAGUAAAGUAAAGUAAAAAGUAAUAAAGUAAGUAUAUAUAUAGACCACAAUUACAAUUCGAAUACAAUGGAAUAUAUUCAGGUCCAAAGGCUAUGAAUUCUUGGAGUUGGAGGAGGGUAACGUAGAAGCAGCUCCCUCAUCAUUAUUGUUGAAGCGAUCACAAUGUAUGAUCAAAUCUUUUGUAGAAGUCAUUCCCUUAUUGUUGUCAUAAGAACCAUCGAAAAGUAUGAUCAUGUCAUUUGUAGAAGUAAGAUUAUUUUUUAAAAAAUUAAAUAUUAUUAAUUUUGAUAUUUUUGGUGCUUAAGAAGGGUACAUUUGUUUCAAAUGUAAUCUAAAAUUUAAACGUCUGAGCCAAACAGAGUGAAGUAUCAUAUGUAUCAAAUCAAAUGGCUUUGCUGGCCUAUUCAUCUCAAAAUGCUUUCUUACACGUCUAACAUUUGAAUACAACACCCUAUACUUUGUUUCUGUAAUAUUUUGUAAAAUAGUCUUAAUUUCUGGUAUUCUAUCAACUGCAAUUUCCAUGGAGAAUUGACUCCAAUUAAGCACAUCACUAAAAGGCAAAGAGUAAUUGUCACAAAUUAUCACUGGGACACAUCCUGCAUAAAUUGCUUCCACCACUCUUGGACUUGCCACUUCAUGUCCACUAGGGCACAAACAAAACUUGCUUAGACCCAUCAACUUUGUAUAAUCUUGACCUUUUGGAAGGUACUCAUGAACUUGAACUUCUUCAUCCUUGUCCUUCCAACUCUUGAGCAAUUUUUUUCUAAUCUUACCAUGGGCACCACCAGCAAAAAAAGUUAAGAUUGUUCGGUUAUUAGGGUGUUGGUCUGUAUUAGGUGGGCCAAGCUUUCCAACAGGCAAAUUCAAUUGAGGGAUGGACACAUCUCUGUUAGGCCAAAAUCCUUCUGAAGUGUUGGCAUUGCAGAGUGCUCUGAUGAAGUGCUUGAAGAGUUUAGGAUUAGCAUAUGAAACUCUUGGUCCCUGAAUCAUUAAGUAAAGGGUAUUUUUCUUGUAACAUCAUCACAUAGACUACUUAAAUUCAAAAAUGGUGAAAUUGUGAACCUACCCAAUCAUGGCAUGAAAGCAGAAAAUGGUCAGCACCUUGACUUAUGUUCCAAUAAGGAUACUUGUUGGCAACAAUUUUGAUAUAAUCCUCAACUAAAAGCUGUAAGCGAUGAGGAUUAUAAUCUGAUCUUGACUUUCUAGGCUUGUAAACAUAGCGAAUGACCUUAGACACGCUGAAAGGAAGAAAGAAAACAUGGGCCAGUUCAGGAUGAGUAGCCUUGAAUGGACUCUUGUUACUUGUGUCCAUUUCAUCAAUGAAUUGUCCUUCAAUGGAAUAUUUGUUGUUUACAGGUCCAUCAUGCACCAAUGGUUGCUCUCCUUCCUUGUAUACCCAUACCUUGAAUCUCUUCACCAUCUCCUUGUGGCUCCUGGUUUAGGGGAAAACAUAUUAUUGUACAAGUAUAACCAAACUGGUUUAGCUGAAAAGCAUAGAUUUGAAAUUGUUAUAAUUAAACUUAACUGGUGAAAAGCAUGUGGAUUCAAGUAAAUGGACCCUUUUGGAACAAAACUCUGUUUCAUGUUGGUUGUGGACUUCUUGGACCGAAUUGCUCUCUGAAUCAAUGCUCUUGUUUGUGCUAAAUCUUCUUCAAUCUUCUCCAAACUAGUCAUGUUCUUUCUCCCAUCACCAAACUGAAAACAAAACAAAAAAUUAAAAAGACAUGUGAGAACAAUGAGAGCACCUUAAUCCAUGUUUAACUUAUAUUAUUGUAGCUAACAUUAUUUGAUGAGAUCGAGAGAAGCUCAUGAGGUGAGUUGAUAUGGAUCAUAUGAUUUUCAUUUGGAGUGAAAAUAACAAGGAAAAAAUUGAGGAAGAGCACUAGAAAGAUCAAAGGGCAUAUUAAUGAAGAUUUGAAAACUUUCAUCUCAGAACUUGUAAAUCUGCCCCAAGACAAAGAAAGAUGCCUCAGUAUCACCACCAUGUAGUAUAAAAUAACUUUAGUUAUAAAUUAAUAGAGUCAAGUGCACAAAUGUCAUGAACACGACCUAACACCAAAUAAAUAAUCUUAUCUUAUCUCAAAACAAAACAAAACAAAAGCUAAUCAAUUUUAUAUAUAGAAAAGAUACCAAUAACGAAUAAAUGGUGCCGUCAGCUACGGCCCACUUACAUAGAUGCUCACGUGUACAUGUCCUUAACAUUUCUAUUGCAUUAAGCAUCUGCUAAAUUUUGGAAAAAGACAUCAAAUAAGUUAAUAACAUACACAAGCGUUAGCUAAAAUAAGAGCAGUGUUGAAAUUUUAACUAAUGUACAUUAAUUAAUCAUAUCACAGUUACAGAUGAAACUUUAAUCAGGCCAUGUGCCAUGGUUUACAUUAGGAUCUAUACAUUUAUAUUUCAAUUGAAUCUAUAAUGUUCACAGAACAUAAUUACUUGAAAAAUCACAGUUACACACCCAGCAUGCAGAAACAACUUUUAUUUUAUUUAUUUUGAGUCAAUGAGUCUGAAAUUAAGUCUUCUAAGCCAAAUUGAAUGAAGUAUCAUGUGCAUCACAUCAAAAGGCUUAGCAGGCCUAUUCAUAACAAAAUGCUUUUGAACUUUCAUCACAUUCAUAUGCAACUUCAUGUACUUAUCUUUUGUAACAUUUUGUAAUAUAUUCUUAAUCUCUACUAUUUUCUCCACUGGAAUUUCAACUGAAAAUUCACUCCAAUUCAACACAUCAUUGAAAGGCAAGGAAUAAUUCUGAGAAAUAAUCACAGGUACACACCCAGCAUUAAUUGCUUCCACAAUUCUUGGACUAGCCACUUCAUAUCCACUUGGACACAAACAAAAUUUACUUAGUCCCAUUAAUUCUGUAUAGUUUUGACCCUUUGGAAGAUACUCAUGAACUUGAACUUGUGCAUCUUUGUUCUUCCAAUGAUUUAGUAAUAAUUUUCUAAUGUCACCAUGGGCCCCACCAGAAAAGAAGGCUAAUAUGGUUCUGUUUAAUGGGCUUUGGCCCAGAUUUGGUGGGCCUAACUUUCCAACUGGUAAGUACACUUCAGGGAUAGACACAUCCCUUUUGGGUUGGAACCCUUCAGAAGUGUUGGCAUUGCAUAAGACUCUUGUGAAGUUUUUGAAGAGGUUUGGAUUUGCAUCUGAGAUUUCUGGUGCCUGAAUUAUCAAGUAAAGCAUUUAAACUUUGGUUGCAGACAUUAAAAAAUUUAAAGCAUAGGUUAUAAUGUUAAUAAAAUAUUUCUAUUAUGUCAGACUAAUUGAACUGCAGAAUUGAAAACAUUACAUGAAAUAUGAAUCUCCAAGUAAGGCAUUUAUUCUGUCUGACACCAGGUUCAUCAAAUACAUUAGGUAUUUGUUAUAUGAAUUUUCUAAAAAAACAUCAUGGAUUAAAAUUAUGACAUGUUUCAGCAAAAUAAAAAUAAAUAAUAGGGACAUGCCUUCAUAACCAAAUUCACUACAAUAAUUAGUAUUUGAUUGAAGUAUAUAUUAGCAAUAUUUUUAAAAUGUACAUGAUGGUUAAACAAAUUUAAUGCAGAGUUAUAGACACUAGACAUUGCAUACAUGCAUAUUAUGGAAAAACAAUAAUAAACCUCAGCAUGUUUAAGUUCCUAGUAAUUAAUCAAAUGAAGUGUGAGAAGAAAAUUACCCAGUCAUGACAAGAGAGGAGAAAAUGGUCAGCACCAUUGCUUCUAUUCCAAUAAGGAUACUUAUGAGCCACAACAUUUACAUAAUCCUCCACCAUUCUAUGAAGUCUGUCACGGUUGAAAUCCUUUUUGGACAUAAUUGGCUUAUAAACAUAUUGAACCACAUUUGCAACACUAAAAGGAAGGAAAAAUAUGUGUGCCUCAUUAGGGUGCUUAGCCUUAAAAGGACUCAUUUUGCUAUUGUCUAUUUCAUCAAUGAAUUGACCUUCAAUUGCAUAUAUGUUGUUCACUGGUCCAUCAUGUACUAUUGGUUGCUCUCCUUCUUGGUAUACCCAAAUCUUCAAUCUCUUCACCAUUUCCAUGUGGCUCCUGAUUUUCAUAAUUUUAUUUAGAGAAAAAUACAAGGACUUGUUAGUAAUAAAGAAUCAUAGUAGGUUAUCAAGGUUUCGAAUUGCAGGUGCAACUAUAUAUGUCCAAUGUUUUAAAAGUUAUCAGCAACCGCUAUAGUAGUUGCAACAUCACAAUUACAUGGUUGCGUUAGCUGUAUUUGACUAUGAUUUUUCGCAGUAUCAAAGUCAUGCUAACUAUAUUUGAUUAUAAUUUUUUAUAAUAUCAAAGUCGCGAAUGCAACAGUGCCAUUUUUAAAGACUAAAACAUUGAAAUUUUAAUUCAGAAGAAUUUCUCAAACUUAACUGAUGAAAAGCAUAUGGAUUUCUGUAAAUGGACCCUCUUGGGACAAAAACAUCACGCCUCCUUGAAGUACUGUAAUUCCUUGAAAGAAUUGCUUCUCGAAUUGAGGCUCGAGCUUCGGACAAACUUCCUUCAACUCUAUCCAAGCUACUCAUAAUUUUCUGCAUGCAAACAAAGAUGAUGAAAUAGAAACUUUGGUUUGAGAAAACAGAUAGAUAAUACAAAACUUUGAGCUGAAACUUUUUUGUUGAUCAUUAAUACCUUAAUGCUACUGUUUUCUUUAUGGUCAAAGCUUCUAUAUGCAGAGUUAUAAGUCAGAAACUGAUGAGGUUUAAUUACUUGUGUUGCAUUAUUCAUGUCUUUUAUACUAGGAAGAGAGAAAGGAAAAACAAAGAAGGAAAAAUGAAAUCCUUUUUGAGAAGUGAAGAGAAAAAUGAGGAAGAAGAAGA